This 54790-nucleotide long non-coding RNA is filed under the name Medicago truncatula (barrel medic). Lineage: Eukaryota; Viridiplantae; Streptophyta; Magnoliopsida; Fabales; Fabaceae. The record is from RNAcentral.
AAUAGGUUUGUUUCUAUUGUGAUGGGAAUAAACUAAUUAUUUUAUAACUGAAUUUUUAAAUAAUAUUAUAAAAAUGAUGAAAAGGUAAACAUAAUAUUUUUAAUGAGGAAUAUAAUUGAAAAAAGUAUUACAUCAAAACUAUAUUAUCCUUUUUAUAUAUAGGUGAAAAGAUUAUUGUUGUUGUUUAGAUUGUUAUUGUUAUUGUUUUUGUUGUUGCUGCUGUUACUACUACUGUUAGUCUCAAGAUGAGCACUAACAGGUCUGUCUUUCCGCUUUUAUCGAUUAAAAUAAUAUAAGUUGUAAAUUCAUCCGAUGCUUUAUAAAAUCUGUUAUUUGAUUGGAAAGGAAUGAUAAAAUCGUAAAAUAAAAGUUUAAUAAGGGUAAAAUUGAAAGAAAAAUGUUACAACAAGACUUAGUAUCUUUUCAUAUAAAAAUAUAGAUAUUUCAAUAAGUUAUUUUUCAAUCAAAUAAAAUUGUUUAUAUAAUGUGUAAAAUUUAAAAGGAAAAUUGUUUUAACGGUUGUUUUCUUUAUCUGAAUUUUUACAUUUACAUUCAAUUUCUGUCCCCAAGUUAUUCAAUUGUUUGAUUUUGACCCUUUAGUUUCAAUAGCGUCAUUUGCUAGUUUCAUGCACAUUGUAAAGCUCACAAAAUUACCAUUCUCAUCUGAGUUUUGCUUCCAAGAUCAUCCACUAGUUAACUGAUAAAAAAAAUGCAGAGAAAGAACUCAUGGAUAGAGAUUUGUUAUACUUGUAUGUUAAUCUUUGAAUACAAAUAAUUGAUUUCUUUAUGAACAGGCAACACUAUGAGUUGUUUGAUUAGCACUUCAACCUUUUACUUGUUUUGUUAUUCAAAGUUGAUGCAAAACACCAAGAUUACGGAAGACACAGAUACAAAACCAUAAGCAUAACCCUUAAUGAUGGGCGAUACUCGUAUAUGAAAAAUAUUGUUGUUUUCUUUUGAAGUGUUAUGUAAAAAAAUUUAAUCUUUGUUUUUCUUUUUAUGGGUUUCAAUCAUUCUUAUAUAUUUUUUUUAUUUUAUAAAAUUUUGAUCUUUGACUUUUUUUAAUGAAGUUUUAAUCUUUAUGUUUUUUUUAAUGUUUCUAGGUUUGUCGUUAAAGAGGGAGCUAAUGGCCGACGUGGGAGGUGGAAUCGGGGAGGUUAUGAUAAUCACAUGCGUUGUCGUUACUGUUGGUUCACUGGGGGAGCUCGGGGAUCGUCCACAUCGAGACUAGAACAACCACACAAGCAAGAGAGACACCACACUCUUACCCAAAAUCUUAAGACAAUGGGUUUAUGGGUCCUCUUACUUAUAACGUGUUCAACCUUUACUCUUUUAUCCGUUGUGUGACAUAUAACUCACUUGCACACAACAACAGUUACUUCCAAUGAUACAAGUGGAAAGAAAAUGAAUGGUUAUCAAUCCAACCAUAAUUUUAAUGGAUAGAUCUAAACCAAUCUAUUAACAAAUUUGUUUUCAUUAUUUAAAUUGACUCCGAAAAAUACACGAUGUCUAAAAAUGACCCUAUAAAAUGAAAAAUAGAUAUCUAAUUUGAGAUUUUUUCUUAUUUUUAAUCCUGUAAUAUACGCGUGGUCUAAAAAAAAUGAUCUAGAGAGAUUGAAUUUUUCAUGAAUUUUAUCAGGCAUCUUUAGGAUGUUAAAACAUGGCUUUACACACAAAAAAUUAAAUUUUUUCGAAUAGUGACAAAUUUAUUAUGAAUUUUUUAAACAAUUAAUAUUUAAUUUGUAUCUCGUUAAAAACUUUAAAAUUUUAUGGUGAAGGUUCUUAUUAUAUUUUAAUCAUAACAAAAUUGCAAUUUCGCACGUUUUGGUCUAAAAAUUAAAAAAACAAAUCGAAACAUUUUUAAAAUGCUACGAAUUUUUGCAGAUCCUUUUUAUGUAUUUUUAUAGAUGUCUCUGCAAAAAAUCAACUCAAAAUUAGAUUUUUAGGUUGGAGUUUUUUUUUUUUUUUGAGUUUUUAAUGCUAUAAAAUUUCAUAAAUUCGUCUUUAGUUUAAAAAUUCUAAUUUUUUGUGUAAUGUCGUAUUUUAACGUCCUAAACAUGCCUGAAAAAAAUCAUGAAAAAAUUCAACCUCUAAGUAGCUUUUUUGGACUUCAACUAUAUUACAGAGAAAAAAAUAAUAAAAAUCUCAAAUUACAGAGUUAGAAUAUAUGUUUUUUAUUUUUCAGCAUCAUUUUUCAGAUUUCAUAUAUAUUGCAUGGUCAAUUUCAAUAAUUAAACUUUUUUUAUGGAUGAAUUGAAUACAUAUUAUGGUGGAUGUAUAUGGAUUUGAGGAUGUUAGGCUCUAUUAUGAUGGUGGAUGGACAAAAAAUAAAACUAAUUUGUUUGAAAAGUCUAUCAUUAGAUUUAAUAGUCGUGGAAAUCCAAUAGUGAUAUUUAAAUACAACAAGUGAACUAAUUGUGGACUGCCUGGUAGCCCACCAUGAAUGCAACCCGCAGCUAUAUUGGAAAAUCCUCUUCUCGCAAGUAAAAAUAGAGUCAACGUUGAUUUCAGCUAAAGAAAGAAAAUGCAGUCAUUGGCUCUCUAAGAUGCUCUCAAUUUGGUCCAUAGGCAUAGAUAUAUUUCAAUUUGAUAAUCACCUAUAUAAAAUGUUUCUCAAAUUCAUCUUUGUGGGAAUGUUUCUCAACUAUUGUGUUCACCGCAGCCUUGUGGUCACAACCCCGAAUAUAACAACCUUUCUUUUUGGCCUAAACUCAAAUUCGAAACUGCAUCGAAAUGCUUUGCCUUUAUCUACGAAAGGAACUUUGGGUGUGAAUAAAAGAGGAAGAAGAGAGAGAAACAUUUCUCUCACUUCGACCCCCUCUAAGUUCUCAUUAUAUUAAAGAGAACGAAAUAGAUUUGAUGUGGUCAAACCAUGAUAAAAUUUAGAAGGUUGAUCUAAUCUAAUGAUAAAAAAAUAGUAUAACUUGCACCAAUACUUUUAAGCGGUGCAAAUUAUAAGGAUUCGUGAGUUAGAAUCUUCUACUCGAUUUUUUCCUUUUUUAAUGAACUAGUUCUAUGUGACCGAUCAUCUCCGAUCACUGGAGGGUCCAGUGGAAUCCCAAUCAUUGAUUUGGUCAUGACUGACAUGGAAUGGUCAUGACUGACAUUGAACCUCCUCUUGUGUAGUAUUCACGGGAGAGAAUCCCAGUCCCAAGUUCUAUAUGAGCCAAAAAAAAUUCUCGCUAACAUGAUCUCUCAAUAAAUUAAAGAUGUGAUAUUAUCUACUGCACUUAAGGUAUUAUGGCUAUAAAUUAUCUAACAAACAAGAUUCUAAUGCAGUAUAGUAAAACUCUAAAAAAAAUAACAAUUUCAAUGAACUUUAGCAGAAUAUAGUUAAGACUGCCUCGAUGAUGAUCCAUUAUAGUACGAUAAUUACAUUUAGUAACAAUUAAAAAUUGUAAGUAAAUCAAGAAAAAUGUUACUAGUUAAAUUUUGUAACACUUGAACAAUUGUUAGGUAAAGCUCGUGUUACUAAAAAGAUUUAGUUACAUUUUAUAGUACUAUCUGUAUCAAUCAAAAAGUGUCGCAAUGUUACAUUAUUAGAACACUUUUUGUAUCACUAGUAACAAUUAAAAAGUGUUACGUUUAUAAUUUUUGAGAAGUUGUAAAAAGUGUCGCAAACUGUCUCAACUAAAAAAUUUUGAAUCUAUCAAAUUUGUCUUUGCUUAGACUUCAUUCAUAUUUGAAUUAACCAAUAUUAGAUACAAGUUUUAAUAACUAGUUUGAAUUACAUACUCUAGAUUUCCCCCCUUCAUUGUUCUUAUUCUUGCAUAAUGAAAAUAACUAUGCAACACAAUUUGAAUGACAUACUGAAACGAUUACAAGUUUUCAUCCAAUGUAACAUGUACUCUAUAAAAUAUCACAUUGGUCUGUUCUUAUUCUUCCAACCAUAUUCUCAGCCUUCCAUUUUGUUUUUUGCUUGAUUCUUUUUGCUCCAAGUUGUUGACGCUCUACAAAUUUAUUUUCCUUAUCUUUCUUCUUCAAAUCUUCUCGCAUCCUUUUAUAGUAUUCAACUUUUUGUCUUGCCAAAAUAAACAAUAUAAUACAUACUUAAGCAGUAAUCACAUAUAAACUAUAAGAUAGUCAUAGGUAGUAACAUAGAAAAACUUGCAAUGAUAUCAACAAUCAAAAAGCAAUAUACAAUAGCAAAACCAAAUUAAUAUUGUUGAGCCAAAAAAACAAAACUAUACUUAGAACUGAGCAACAAAACAUAACACUCCAAAACCAAAAGAAACAAUAAUACCAUCCUAAUUAGUGGUAGUAUCAACAUGAAGCAGAAGGAUGGAACUGAAGCAUCCAAAGAUAUUAACAUCAAAUUUUUAUCUAAAAGAAUAAGACAAUUUAAAAAUUAACAUUAUUCAAACUGUGAAGCAUUCCACCAAUCCUGGAGUCAGCUUAUUCAAUCAAAUACACCAAAAGAAUAAGCAAAGAUAAUUCAUACAAAAGAAUAUUAUUAGAAAUUGAAUUCAAUAACACAAAAUCAAUUAAAUUUGGGAUAAACUUAAUACAUUUUUUCUUAAGUUUCUCAUAUUUUGCCUUGCGCUUAGCUGCUUAUCCAAAUAAUGUUGUUUCUCCUGAUUAAAUAAUAUAAUUAAUUUUAAAAGACAAAUGUUACUUAAGGAGAUCAUAUUGCAUGUGUUGUAAUAUACUAGAGGACUUACUUCAUUACUCAUGGAGUUCCAUGCUUUAACGACCAUUUUAUUAACAUCGAAAUUUUGAUCUACUUCUUUAAAAUUUUCGCCAAACUCAUCCCUAAAAUAUAAUUUUUUUACUUAAUAAUAAACAACAUAAAAAUAAAAAAUAUAUUAAACAAAGAAGAUUUACCAUAAAAGAAAAAAAGAAUUCGGCAGAUUCUCAAGUAUAUCAUGAUCCUUCUCAACUUUGAAUUUUUUGGCCUUGUGUUCUUUUGGCUUGGUACCUUGGUAUUUAGUUUAAAAAUAUAAAGUGAGUAUUUGAUUUAGCUACCCAAAUCAAAUGGAACUUUGCUUCCUAGUCAUGGUCUCCUAGGUCCACCAAUGUUGUGUUCACGAGGAUUGGUUUUGCCAUCCAAAAAAGUCUAGCGGCGCAGUUUGUUGCCUGUUUGCCUUCUACUCAAGUGUAAAUAAUGGUUUAUAUAUAUAUGAAAAGUACGUGAGUGAUUUAACAAAGUGAAACAAUGCACUAUGAAAACUAGUUUGAAUUACCCUUCUCAUGUAGCUUUUUAUGAGCAUUUUCUUCUUUUCCUUCUUUGGUCUCAACAAAAGAACGAGCAUCAGCUUGCACAUCAUUUGUCUUUUGAAUGCUAAACAAGGUCGGAAACACUAUUUUCGGGUAACAAUGGCGUAUCUGAGUUAAAACAAUGUUUAACUGCCUAAUAACUCUCCUUUAAAAUCUUCUAACUACUCUUUUAAUUUCACUUCCAUUUCUUUUUGCAAUCUUUCUUGCAGAAACUGUAUCUCAAUGUGAGCAUUCCUUUUAACUUCCUCAAUAGUUUUUUGGAUUUCAACUUGAGGCUUAGAUCCCCAUAAGUCAGAAGCUACAACACCUUUUCCAUAGGUGCGCACUCGGUCUUUUCCCAAGACUUGGGACAAUAUAUCUUCUCGAGAUGAGUUUUGUUCUGAUGCAUUUGGAAGUAAAGAUAGAAAUUCCUCAAGCUCUGACUGAUAAUCAAAAGUCGACGAUAUUUGAGAUCCAACAAAUGUUCAUUUCUCUCGGUGUCGCCGUAUACUGGAUUUCCCCUCUUCGGCUUAUGUGUCAUAAUGUACAUUUCCACACGAGAGGGUUCUCUUUUAUCAUGAUUAUUCGUCGUCUAUUUAUACAAAAAUAUAACAUUAGAUCGAUCGCUAAGUGCACGAUUCUCUUUUAAAAGCAAAAGAUAAUGUUGCUUUGCCACAGCAAGACAAAAACUGCAUAACACAAAAUAACAGUUUUACCUCUUCAUCACGUAUUUCUGCAUGAGUUUUUGUUCCGGUGGUAUGUAUGCUUGUAAACUUUGCUCCACUUCUUUUAUUCCUCUCGCUACAUAUCUAUAAAAUAAAAAUGUUUCAUACGACUAAGAUAAUAAUAAUCAUAAUAUAUGCACACAUGAUAAUAAGAAUCUCACCUCAGUCAUUUUUUAUUUCCAAAACUUAACAAGAACCUUCCACUAUUCAAGUGGAACAAUUGAUGGCCUAUUUCUUAGAUUAUAGAACUGGGUCACGGGUACAAACCAUGUCAAUUUACGAACCGGGUCAAAUUUGACCAUAUAAAAAAUGGACAUAAUCCUUUACAAUCAUGCGAUUUUGCAUGAAUUUUACAAUUUUAAUGUGAUUUUACUAUGAUUUUUUCUGUUUCGGAGUUUCGUUAUGAAUUUGAAUUGUUGAAGGUGAAUAAAGUCGCAAAAUGCUGAAUAUUAAGAUUUAAGUUGCGAUUUUAACAACAACAAUAACGAUAGCCUUUGUUGUUGCAACCAUUUCAGAUUGUUGAGGUUCUCAUUCAUUAUUAACCUGCACUAUUUCUAAUUUAUAGUUACCUUUACUCUUGAAACUCAGAUUGUAUCAUAGAGCAACAUAGGAUGAGGAGAUAAAAUUUUAAAAUAUAUUCACACCAAUUAAAUAGACUAAAGCUCCCUUAUAAGGAAGAACAAAUAUAGAAGCUACAUUAUUCCAUAAUGUAAUAAAACGUCAACACUUCUAGAAACAAUUCAAAUAAUACAUUACCACUUUAAUUUAACAAAAAACAAUUAAUGAUAGGAUAUUUGACUAAUCAGAUUCUGCUGAUCAUACAUGGGAGAUUGAGUGAUAUAUGAUUUGUAAGUGUUGCAUGCUGCCACAUAAGAUUCUUGUGUUUCUUGUCAAAUUUCUCUCAUAACAAUAAGCAUUUUCCUUACAAUAAUAUUCCUCUACUCCUCUAUCACAUAGAUCAUAUUUUUACCAGGCUUAGAUAGAGUUCUCCAAUAGUAGGUUGAGUAAAUGAUAUCUGAAAACAAUGAAAAUUGCAAACCUAUGUACAAAAGUAUUGGAAGGAAAGAAAAUAUUGAAAUGCAACUAGGAAUCCACAUCGAACCAUGGUAGAAGGUUAUGAAGAAGGAACUGCUAAGUGCUACCAUCAUGCUUGUUAUGGAGAUGAAUAAUGUGAUCAAUCCAAAUAUUAGCUUUAAAGGUAGUGAUUUAUAGAAGUCACGCUCUCCAUAACGCGAGACAAGAAUAGACAAGAAAAUCAAUAUGGCUGUCGAAGAUGAAAUGAACGCAGAUGCAUCUGAUAUUGCAAACCCCAAAAAUGAUGGUUUCUUCAAAAAGUUUGGUUUUCCUGUGUUAUCGAUACCACCUGGUAAAGUAACUGCAGCAGCGAACACUCCGGUAGCAAUGACUGUUGAAAUUAGCAUACACGACUCCGCAGUUUUUUUCAUCCAAGACUCUGCAUCUUCCCUUAGUUUUUCAUGCUCAUUUGAGAACAGUUCUUCUGCAGUCACGCCUUUGGAGUUUUUCGACUUAAUCUGUGCGGGCAGCAUUAUCUUCUUUACAUUCUAUCAUAUGAAAAUGUAUAUAUGUUAGAUAAAAUAUAGAAAUGUAAAAAUAAAUUAGUUAAAUUUAUUAAGGACGGUAGGAUAAUUGUGUAUGCACACAAGGGAUGCACUAUACCUCAAACCAUAAUAACUCGACACACAUUUGAAAAGCUGCACCAGAAACCAAUUCAAGUUGACCUUGUGGUGCUAAUUUUCCAGCUAAGUGCAAUAAACUGUUUCCUUCAUCGUCUUCAAAUGUCACUAUGAUAUCCUUUAUAUGCCCUAUUUGAUGUAUGACAUUGAAGAUACUGGCAUGCCGAUGCAAAACAGCUAUGUGUAAUAUAGUUCGAUUUUCGCAAUCCACCUCCCAUAUCAAGCUUGGAUGGGCACUAAUAAGCUCCGAUAAGAACCCAAAAUUUCCAAUUUCAGCAGCAUCAAAUAUUAGUUGAGAAGGUUUAUUUAUGAUUUCAUUUAACUCCUUCUUUGAUGAGUAGUAUCUUUCUAGAAUCGUGGUCCAGAGAAAUUUAACCAAUUGGAAAACCAUAUGAUUUUUCAGGCCUGCGAUACAAAAUUUGGUUACUAAGUUAAUGAAACCAAUGUAAAUAAAUUAAUAAAGUUAAUGUAAGGUUUACCAGGAUUGGUGAUGAUGUGAUUAUGAUCAUGUUCUGGACAAUGACAAGAAGAAUCCAAUGGCAUUUGAUUUUUAGCCAAGAGAUGUAAAGCUGUUUUUUCAUUCUCAUCACGUGCAAAAGCUAGUUCUUUCUUGUCUCUUACCAUUUUGAAGGCCAAGUCUGCAAUUGAAAAAUAAUACUAUGAUCAAUAUUUUGCCAUCAAUAAGUUGUGUUAAAAUCCCAUAUGUUUUACUGUGGACUGAUGAUGGAAAAUCAAUCAAAACUUUGAUGACGGCUAUAUUGGGAAAAAUCCAUGUUCCAAAUCGGAUAGAUAAGACUCUUGAAAAGAGUAUAUAAAGAGGAGUGUGUUAAGAGUCCCACAUUGGAUAGGUGACAGCCUGACAAUGUGUUUAUAAGUGAGGGCAAUCCUAACCUCACAAGUUGGUUUUGUAAGGAUGAGUUAGUCCCCAAUUUCAUUAGGUUAAAGUUGCCACUUUUAAUUAAAAAUUUAGAGACCUCAACGUCCUUGCAACUGAAACUAUGAUUUUGAUCAGUGUUGAUUCAACAAAACAAAUAUCAAAUGAAUAUAAGUUGUGUAUUAAAGCAUUAAUACUUGCUUAACUUGUUUUUUUUGUCAAAGUGACACCGAUCAAUUGAGCAUCGGUACCCUAUAGUUAGUAAUAGAACACAUAAACUACUCAAAAUUCUCUAUCUAGAGACCAUUUUAAUCGUUGAACUGUUGGAAUCUCUGAAACAAUCUAUUUAAGGACCAAAUUAUUUAAUUGGUCAGUAAAUCGGUCUCUAAUUAUUUUGUUUUCACACUUGCAGUUUUCAAUAUUUAAGAUGAAAGAAAUUACACAGGAAUGAAAUGCAAGUGAGCAAUGAGUUGUGCGGUUAAUCCUUUCUGAAUGACAAAAUCAAUGCUCUGAGAAACUACAUUAAAGACCGAUUUGUGAAAUGUCGCCAAACCAUUAGUCGCAAAUGUUCUAAUGUUAGCAAUGGGUUGGACAAUUCCGAUCUUUGAAUCGGUCACUAUAUGACAAUUUUUUCUGAUGAAUUACAACCGUUAGUAAUACUUACCAUAGAUGCCUGUGUAGAUACAAGCAAAGAACAAUAACUCCCAGUCCUUCUCUUCAAAGCAAUGUAUGGUUUCAUCAUAUAGAUGCCAUGUCAUUUUGUAUCUUCCUUGCAAAGCAGCAUACUGAAUAGGAGCACAUCCUUUUGCACCCUUUAUAAUUGGUAACUUGGGGUUUAUUUUCAGCAUUAAGUCAACAAUUUUCAUGUUUCCAGCUGCAGCAGCAAUAAAAAAAGCAGUGUUUCCGUUCAUAUCUUGCAAUGUUAUAUCAUUGUCAUCAAGCAUCUUCAAUAGCUCCUUCACAAAGUGAAUAUGGUUUGCACCUGCAGCAAUAUGCAGUAGAGUAGGAUACCCAUUUGUUAUGGCAGCAUUUUUUAGCUUAUUCUCUUUGUCUAUAAUGCGCUUAGCUGCUGGCCAGUUUCCAUUCAGAGCAUGCUUGUGAAUGGGAACACAAUGCUUGAGAAACCCUUUAUUUGCAUCAUCACCUAAAACAGAGAGUAUUUCUAUUGCGUUAACAUUAAACCCAUCUACAUAUCUACAUGUACAAAUAUUAUUCAUCAACACUUUUAGGUUUCAAAUUUUCCUAUUUAUAAUCUGGAUUGGCUGAACCACCUGUUAUAAUAUUAGGGUAGUUAGUAUUCUCCUUGGUACAUUGACACGAUUGAUUUGAAGAAUUCAAGAAAUUAAUCCCAUUUUGAGCGUAUAUUAAUUAGUACUUGUACUCUAUUCCAUUAUUUCUAAUAAUAUUUUUUUUAAAAGUAAAAUAAAAUCAGAAACUAUAAUCUUUCAAAAGUUUGGCAACCUUUAAUCUUUGCUAUGAUAAGGAAGCAAGGCUAAGAGAAUUAUGACAAAUCAGGACACCUUUAUUGCUUGAAUUUAUAAAGCAUGAUAUUAGUACCCGCAUCGUAAGUUCUUCAAAUCAUAAGAUUAUGCAUGAUAAACUUCAAAUCACCUUUAUGGUGGGUAUUUUGUUUGUAGUGCCUAUCGAUUAUGCAUGAACGAUUUCCUUGAUACAACUCAACUUAAGGUGCAAGGAUCUUGGGAAUUAAUCUGGAAACUCAAGAUGCAACUAAAAGUGAAACUUUAUUUGGCGAGUGUGUAGGAAUUGUCUCCCAACACGUAUGAGACUUAAAGAUAAAGAAGUAAACAAAUUAUAUUACAAGUGCUUUGUGUAGUCUGCAUGACGAAUAUAACUUCCAUCUCUAUUUUAGAUGUUCUAGCAGUUGUAAUAUUUGGAGUAUGUGGGAAGCUUAUCCUUCCGUAUGCGAUUUAAUCAAUCAAGGACAUGAGAGCGCUAGUACUAUUUUUAUCAUACUAAAGGUGUAACAAGAUGAUGAUGGUUUUGUUGUAUUUUGUGGAGUAUCUAGAAGCAAAGAAAUAAUUAAGUUUGUAAUGAGGUGGUUGACAUGCAAUCCUUUGUUUUGGAACAAAAACAAAAAAAACAUGUUGCAUGAUUGGAAAGCAGCUAGAAAAAUUCGGAAGUACUGUCCAAUGCACAUAAGCCUAACUGAAGUUAUAAAUGGAGGGAGCCAAGUGAAGGAUGCUUCAAAUGCAACAUCGAUGAAUCCUUUUCAAAAUGAUCUAACAAGGUUGGAAUAGGUAUGCUUAUUAUAGAUGGGCAAGGCACCUUUGUUUUAGAUAAAACAAAAUGGUUUAGCCAUGUCUCUGAAGUACGUGUUGGAGAAGCUCUUGGAAUAUUAUCUGCUUUAGAAUGGGUUCAUGAACUUAACUUGGGAUCUGUUGAUUUUGAGCUUGCUGCAAAGAGAGUGGUUGAUAGCUUUUUGUCCCCAAAACAUGAUGUUAUAAAGUUUGGGAUCCUUAUUCAAAAUUGUAAAGCUUUCUUUAGGCAUUAUUUUAAAAACUCUGGUAUAGAGUUUGUGCAGAGAUAAGCAAAUAGGUUUCUCAUGGUUUAGUUAAGGUGACCACAUUAGCAGCUAGUUUUUUGAUAUUGGUAGAAAUAUCAGAUUGUAUUGAACAUAUUUUGAUUAAUGAAAUGUUAUGGGUCUGUUUGGAAAACCCAAAAAAAGAGCUUUUAGCUUUUAGCUUUUAGCUUAUAGCUUAUAAGCUCGUUUGACAAAAAAAGCUCUGUUUGGUAAAACUUUUUCACCAUGAGCUUAUAGCUUAUUUCACGAGCUUAUAAGCUAUUUUUCAGAAGCUAUUCCAAGUAGCGUUUGAGCUUAUAGCUUAUAACUUCUCACUUUUUCUUCAAAUUUUACCCUUAUUAUUUCAUUUAAAUUGUAUUUUUAUCCAUUAUAAUUUUUAUAAUAAGCUACGUAAUAAAGACUACUAUCCCUUUAUUCCAAUUUUUGUAUAUAUAUCAGCUGGCCUUUUUUUUUUUUGAAAAAAUAUAUACCUUCGUUUUUUUUUUACAAAACAAAAUACUAUUAUUCUAUUAGUGUUACUUUUUUUUUUUUGAGGUAAGUGUUAUUUUCUUUAUUCUCUGUUAUUAUUAUUACUCUAUUAGUGCUACCUUUUUUUUGUUUUUGAGGUAAAUGUUAUUUUCUUUAUAAAGUACAAACACUUAAAUGAUAAUAAAAUAUAAGAUAAAAUUUUAGUGAAUAAAAUUUAAUUUAAUUUAUAAUACAUAGGAUAUAUUAAAUUAAUAAAUUUAAAGUAUGUUUUUAAAGAAAAAUUAGUAUGGAAGUUAGGAAAAUAUAUUGGAUAAAAUGGAAUUCUAUUUGUUCUAAAACGGAGUAUGAUGGUUUGGGGGUCCGGCGGUUGAGGGAGUUAAUUAAUAUGGCAUUGCUAGGUAAAUGGUGUUGGAGGUUGAAGAAGGAGCGUGGGCGUAUGGGGAGGAAGGGGGGAAACAUUUGCGAAGAUGGUGGUGGAGGAUAGGUUCGGUGGGAUAAUUUAAUUAGCACUAGAAAUGGUGUCGGUGUGGGUGUAGGAAGGUGGUUUGAUGAUAAAUGUAGGUCAGAGGUGAGAGCCGGUGUUUCAACCUUAUUUUGGUGGGAUCAGUUGCUACACAAAGGGGUGUUUAAGGAUAUAUUUAGUUGCUUUUUAAUCUUUGUGAUAAUAAAUUGGCACGAUGGCUGAGAUGAAGCAGUUAGUGUGGCGUGAGGGUGGUAAGGCUUGGAAAUGGAGGAGGAGAUUGUGGGCAUGGGAGGACGAUCUGUUGGGAGAGGGCCAUUCCUUGUUGAAUUCUGCUCAUUUGCAUAAAAGUAUGAAUGAUAGGUUGCUUUGGUAUUUGCAUGCUACAAAAAAAUAUAAUGUUAGUAGUGCGUGGAAUUUUCUAACAUUAACGGAUCAGCAAAUUAUUGAUGAAAAGGCUCCAUUAAUUUGGCAUAAGGAUUUUCCUCUCAAAGUUUGUCUCUUCGUGCGGCGGUUACUCCGUAAUCGUAUUCCGAAAAAUGGCAACCUUAUUAGGCGAGGUGAGCUCACGGUUAUUGAUCAGCUUUAUGUUGGAGGGUGUGGUAAAUCAGAAGACGUAGAUCAUCUUUUCCUUCAUUGUGAUUUUUAUCGUCAAAUUUGGAAUGUUGUUUACAACUGGUUCGACUUUAUCUUGGUUAAUUUGUCUCGUAUUUCAUAUCAUUUGAUUCAUUUUGUUGCCUUGGGAGGCUAUUCUAAAAAGUUACGCGCUGUUCUUAAAUUGGUUUGGUUCUUGAUUGUUUGCAUUAUCUAGCGAGAAAGAAAUACUUGUAUUUUUAAGCAAAAAGAGGAUGUGCUUCAUCUCUUACUCGACAAAAUUAAAAUUCAAUCUUUUCGGUGGCUGAAGAUGAAUCAUGUCAGCUUAACUUUCAACUACCACAUGUGGUGGUUGAACCCUCUUUUGUGCUUGGAUUGAGCUUUGUAUCUUCGGUUUCUUGCUUUUUAAGUGAUUUUUUGCCCUAUUUUAAUCUAAUUGUUACUUUUUUUCUUUACACUUUCUCUGUCACUCCUUGUGCGGAGAAGAUAAAAUUGCUCAUUUAAUAUAAUUCCAUUUUAACUUCUUAAAAAAAAUAUUAACAAAAAAGUAAAUAAAAUCGGAGAGACUAAGUGCCUUGAGAGAGAACCAUACUUGUUUCCUUUAAAAAGUCAAGGUUAGGUCUGUUGUAUGUUGCUGAUGCACUCCUUUGAACAACUGGUACUGGAGAUGUAGAACUGACAUCAGAUGUUGUCACUUCCCUGUCAAAGACAAUAUAUAUUACAUUAACAAUUAAUGUGAGAGCAUAUUGUUAAAACAAGUAUUUAAUAUUAAUAUAUUUUGCCUUUAAAAAAAAAACAUUAAUAUAUUUUGUCAAAAAAUCAUUAAUAUAUUCUUCCCUGAGAGAAAAAAAAAACAUUAAUACUAUAUGCUAUGUAAAUACAAACCAGUUAUUGAACAAAAAUUGAAUUUUAAGUUGUCAGACGGCAAAGGAAGUAUGAAAACUUAACUUGUCAAGCUUCUCCCAUACUUCCUUUGCCGUCUGACAACUUAAAAUUCUCUUAAGAUCAUCUGGAUUUAUGGCACAACAUAAAAUAUUUUUAGCUUUUACUUCUGGUUCCAUGAUCUUCCUAUCUUCAUCAUUGAAUUCAUCUAUCGUCUUCAGCACUUCUUCACCAUUUAUUAUUUUUUUUGGAAGUUUUGGUCCAUUCUCAAUCACAAGCCAUACUUCAAAGUCAACAGAUUGUAUGAAUAUCUUCAUAAGUUCCCUCCACUCAGUUAAAUUUGUACCAUCAAAGUAUGGUGGCUUUGAAAUGGAUCUUCCUUCAACCAUCGUUGCGUUCGUAACUUUUUUAGUUGUUAGUACCUGCAAUAUAUGUUUCCUUGUUAGAUCCAAAAUUUUGUUAUUUUAACUAAAACUUCUUCCGUUUUAAAAUGAGUGUUGUUUUAACAAAAAAAAAAAUUAAAAUAAACGCCACUUGCACUUUUCAAUGCAGAAUUAUUAUUUUAUUUUCAAUUGUACCCUUUAAUUAAUUGAGCGUACACUGCUUCCAAAUCAUUACACCAAUAGUAAAUAAGGCUAAUUUAGUAAAAUUGUCAUGUCUUUUGACAUUUUUAUUAUUAUAGUUUUUUAAUUUGUGUGUAAAAAUUUUAAACAACAUUCAUUUUAAAAUGGAUGCAGUGUAAUUUUAGCUUAAAAAAUCUGGCAUAUAUGAUGGAGCAGAUAUUAGAAGUUACCCUUCUAAUUACAACCAAUGAUUGGAGAUUGAAUUUGUGAGGAGGGCUUCGAGAAAUUAGGGUUUAACCACACUAGCAAAAUGAACGGUUUCCAAUUAAGCCAGUUGAACAUGCAAGUAGUGUUUAAAAGACUGAUGACAACUUGAAAGUGUCAUUUAAUUGAAAGGGGUGCAAGUGGUGCUAGGAGGUGAGAGGGUUGUAGCACAAAACGGGAGCCCAAAGUAGGACUAUUGUAUGUGCUCUUACCAUCUUUUGAGUAUAAGGUUUAUAGAAUAAUAUGAGACUUUUUUAAUCGAGAGUUUUAUUCUGUGAAAGUACUUUAAUUUAAAGUUUAUUAAACGAAAUUUUGGAUCAUCUCCUUCACAUCAUUCUCUCUUUCUCCCUCCUUUACUCAAGUUGUAUCUAUCUCUAUCUAAAUUUUAUAGAGAAGAAAUGAGAAGGCGAGACUGAGGUGAAGGAAAAGAUAACUCAAUUUUUUUUUUUUACGAAAAGUCAAGAUAACUCAAUUUUGUCUCAUACCCUUAUCUUGUUUGUCUAGUUAAAAUUCUAUCAUGAAAUGAGGUUUUUUUUUUUUUUUUUUAUUUCUUUUCAUACUCUAAGUCUUCAUCUAUGAUACCCUUCAACUUAGGAGGAACGCUCAAGAGCUCCAAACAAGCAAAACUACCAUUGUGAGCUCAAUUUGUCAAGCAGUCAACAUUACAAAGACAUGUACUAUCACCAAGGAAUAAAAUUCAAUAGCAUCUUUUUAGCCAAUCUCAAACCAAGAAUAAAGCCCUAGAAUUAUGCCAACACAGAAGUACCAUGAUUGAGGUUGCAUAAAUAAGUCUCCUUUUUCGUCUUCAUAUCCUCAUUAAAAAAACUAUUGUAAAUAUAUUAAAAUAUAAUUAUUUUAAAAUAUUAUAUAUUAUUUAAAUUACAUAAAUUAAUCUUAGAGUAUGAAUAUAUAAAUUAUUUUAAAUAUUAUUUGUUGUUUUGUCACAGGUGAUUUUGUAACUUUUAUAGUAAUUUUAUAAACAUCGAAAUUAUAAAUAAAGGUGACAAACUUAAAUAAAAAAUAAUAUUAAUUCUUAAAAAAUCUUAUAGUUGUCAAAUAUUUUUUAAGAAUCAUAAAUAAUAAGGUUGAUUUAACAUUUUAAAUGGUUAGAAAAUAAACAUGUGAAAAAAUCUAAAUAUACUAAAAUUAAAUAAAAUUCAUAUUAUAGAUUUAUUAAUGAAAUAUUUUAAAUUCAUAUUAAAUAAAAAAUAUAUAUUUAAAAUUGUGAAUGAAUUUGAAUUUAUAAUUUAACUUUGAAGAGAGACUUGUAAAAACAAGUUGCUUGGAGAUAAAUUACUCCAAGGACCACAUAAUAGUGGAUGUCCCAAUAACAUGUCUACCUUUUAUGACUAUAUAGUACGAUUCCUUUAAAAACGACAAUAUAGUACCGUAAAGAAGAAGAAAUAUCAAUGGCUAAAAGAAAAAGAGGAAAAAUGUACGUUUCUUUUUUUAAGUGUUGUCUGUUGCUUAAUUUGUUGUUUAUAUUUAAUUGUUGUCUUGACUGUUUAAAAAGAUAAUUUGUCAAUUAUAUAGUUUUUCAACUUCUCAUACUUAUACAUUUUUAAUGAACUAAUUAAUGUUAGGUAUUUGAAAAUUUAAAUAUUUUUUAAAACGAAGUUUGUAUUUUUGUUAUGUGCAAAUUUAAACUUCUAUGAAACAGAACCUUGAUACAUAUAAUAACGUGUUUAUGAAGAAUUAAAAUUUUAUAAAUAAAAUCAGUAACAAUUUAAAAAAUAACACGUAAAAAAAUUGAAGAACAAUUUUCAUGGAAAAACAAAAAAACUCCAAGAAAUCUUUUUAAAAAAAAAAAGAAAGAAAGAGUGGAAGAGAGAGGGUUCAUCAAUUUUAUUAUAAAGAUAAAAUGUGUGCAAAACAAUAGAUAUUUAUAUUAAAAAAAUAGGAAUUUAUUGGAGAGAAUGGAAGUGUCUCACAAUUGUUUGUUAUGGGGAAAAAAGAUGACAAUAUUGAAAGAAUUUAUUGAUAAAUUAAAGUGAUAGUACAAUAGAAUGAAGAAAAAAAAAACUCAAAAAUUCACAUCUCAAUUCAAGUAUACUGUUGAAAAAUAAUACUUAAAAAAAACAAAAGGGGUAAAACAGAAAAGAAGAACAAUUCAUUCACAAAUUUAACAUUCAUAGAAAAUAUUAAAAUAAAAAUUUGACAAAUAUUAAAUUUUGAAAUGUUUUCGUUGUAGUGAAUAUAAUUUUUGAUUGAAUGAUGAAAAAGUUUAAUCGUGUUAUGAAGUAAGUUGAAAUAUAUAUAUAUAUAUUUGUGUGUGUGCGUGCGUGUGGGGUUUAGGAUUUAGGGUUAUAGAACUAAAACUAUAAUUUCAUCUAUAGAAAAAGUUUAGUAAACAAAUAUAUGGUUCAAAAUUUAUAUAAAAUGCACAAAUUUUUGUUGAUCCAGCUUUUUCUUAUAUAUAGAGCAGUAAAAUAAAUAUAUUUCAUAUGAGACGAAAUUGCACCAUGGUAUUUAGAGAGUCUUUACAUUAGAAUGGUGCAGAAUAAAAAAUCUAGGAUGUGUAACAUACUAUCAUAGGUGUAUUUUUGUCAGAAUUGAAGGUGUGCAGCAUGAUUCUUUUUGUUCUAUCUAUCUAGUUUUGUGUUCAUGUAGCUUGGUGGUGUACGUAGUGGUGUUUGUAUCAUAACUUUUCAAACUGCUUCUAUCAUUAUCACCCUCAAAGUAUUUCUUGUGCUUUAUAAUGUGUUUUUAAAACAAAAUUCUUUUUGCUUAUUAAAAUAAAUAAUGAAAAAAGUGAUACUAUUUAUACUACUUUCUUUUCAUAUAACCAUGACAACAAGGAUCAAACAUUUCGUUUUCUACUAUUUAUACUAAAAUUCUUUUUGUCUAUUAAAAAAGAAACUAAAAUGAGAAAAGUAAUUCUUUUUCUACUUUCAGAACUUGGAGUUGAAUUCGAACACUUCUUAAGUAGCUAGGUAUGAAAUUUUCCUUCUACUAUAUAAGUAGUAGUAUUAUUCUUACCCUUUAGCUAAAUAGCAUAAACACUAUACCUGGAUAUACGUAAAGAUGACUUUAACUUUCUCCUACACUUGCCUGCACAAAUAUCAACCAAUAAUAUGUUAAGUACUAUAUGUAGUUUUGACUUCUGAGAAAUAUUAUAAAAAUAAAAUUAAUAAUAAAUAAAUGUACAGGGAAAUUACUCAGAGUUUUUAGUAUUAUAUAAUAGAUGGAUUCUUGUUGUUGGUGUGGUGUGGCUCAACAAAACAAUAUAUGGAAGUAUAUAUUCAAAUUGAAAUCUUAAUCUUCCUUUUCAAAUUGAAAUCAUAAUGCAAAGGGAAAUUAAGGGAAGAGUAAGGAAAUAUUGAGUUUUGAAAGAUGUCGCUGGCUGAAAUUAUUUACACACUACUUAUAAGGAGAAAAAAUGACAUAGAGAAAAAGAAGAUCGUGAUAAAGGAAGGAAAGAGGAAGGAACGGUGUAGAAAAAUGGUGUAUCCCUUUAGCAAAAAGAAAUGCAAGUACCGACCAUUAUUAUUAUUUUGGAGUGGGCUUCGGCCAAUAUCGCCGGCUCAAUAUACAGCGGCCCAAUAACCACUACUACAGGUAGGAAAGAUCAUUGAUUUUCUGACUUCAAAAACGUCAUAUUGACACAUGAAAAUUUCUUAAAAGCCCCUAGCGGUAGUUAACUACCAUUUGUCAAACCGGCAGCAAUAACUGUCGCUGGCCUCAGUGUUUGUGUCGUGUCCAAUCUCCGUGUUUGUAUCCCUGCUUCAUAGCUUUUAGUUUUCUACCUCAUGUUAAAAACAAAAUCAACAAUCAAUAUUUACAAUACAAAUCAGCUCAAUUGACUAACGAUCAUAAUUUGAAAAAAUCACACAAUUCAAUGUAAUUGAAUUUGUCGGUGUCGUGUUAGUGUCAGAUACUGACACAUGUUUGACACCAAGACAGACGUAAUCUAAAGAGUGUUCAUUCUUAAUAGACUAAAAGCUUUCUUGCAAUGAUUUGAAUUAUGUAAUUGGUUAACUUGUGAUGGACUCUACAAUGUAAACUUUGGGUUCCAUGAAAUGGACAAUUAGUGUAAAGUCAUGCCUCAGUUAAAAAUCACGUAUGGACUCAAAUAGAAGUUCCAAUACACUCUUUCUGGCCAAUUUCUUAAGUCUUCUCUAAGUGAAUUGUCGAAGUCAAGUCAACUACCUAUAGAGUGGUUCCUAUUUUUUCUUUUAAUCAUUCACUUUCAUAGAUUUAAAAGUACAGUAUUUGUAAAUUACUUUUAAUCAUUAGUAUUAGUUCUGCCACUUUUUUCCUUUGUUUUCUAGAUGAAGCAGUUGUCCGUUUCUUACCUUGAGUAAAUUUAUAAGGGUCAAAUUACAUAAAAUAAGUAUAUUUUAAAGAAUUUUUAGUAAGGGUGUCAAUGUACAGAAUGACAUUUGUCUAAUUUCUAUUCUAUGGUUUUAGUUGACCAAAAUAAAGGAAGAUCAGUUUUAGAGUUGUUUAGAUACAUUUUGAAAAUUUUGUAAUUUAGACUCAUUUUGUAAUUUAUGAUAUGUCCCUUAAUUAAUUUUAGUCGUAAUUUAGACAUAUUUUGAUUUUUAAUUUUUCUGGUCCAGUUCAAUUUUGUCGAAAAGCUCAACGAAAUUCUUCAGAUUUAGGGAGCUAUUGGUUUGGAAAUUGACUACGGAAUUCCUUGUAUGAAAGUAAGUAUUUCUCUACAUGUCUGCUAUAUUCUAUGAUUUUCACACUUUACCUUUGUUAUUUUGUAUUGAAAAUGCUGAACCUAUCUUGCAUUUUGACAUAUUUUCUAUGACCUAUCUACAUAUUAUUUAUCUCAACUAGAUAUCAAUAAGUCUACUGAAUCCUAUAUAUAUAUCCCAUUAUAGGACUACGACCCUAAAAUUGGGAAGAUCAUUCAUAGAUAGAACGCAAUUUGGUUGUCUUUUUCUUUGUUUCUCAAGUAAUUUAUAGUUCUAACUUAAUUUAUUUAUUUAUUUCUAUUUUAAGUACUUUCCUGACCACAAAUGCCGCACCUACUCUAAAGAUAAGUUAAUUGAGGUAAAGGAGGAUUGGGCUACCUAUGUGGUGCAUGAUGUUUUCGGUGAGAUUUUGUUGUCCUUUUCCUUUUCUUUGUUUUUUAAUUUUAUUUCAAUAUGGUGUACCAUUUUUAUGAUAAAUAAAAACAAAUUUGGUAAGCAUAAAAAAAGUAAUCUAUCAGCUAUAAUGAUACACAACUCAAGAAAAUAAAGACAUGUGUAAUAAUUUCAUAUAAACAUAUGACUUAAAUGUUUGACUUUUGAAAAUUGAUGAUUAUAUUUUUUAUGUUAUUAGUAGUUGUUACAUUGAGAUGUUAAGUUGGUUUUAGUUAAUAUUUUGCUUAGAAACUAUCGAGAAGAGAAAAGAGUACAUGGUUGUUCGAAAUAACUAUUUAGUUGACCUUUUCGAUUUUACCAAACUGUUUGGACAAUUCAGUUUGUUUGAUUUGGUAAAUGGAAAAAACUGAACCAUUAACAAGCCUAACUAUAUAUAUAUAUAUAUAUAUAUAUAUAUAUAUAUAUAUAUAUAUAUAUAUAUAUAUAUAUAUUGAGCUGAUUUUUUGAAUUUACAAUACAUAAUUAAUAUUUCUUCCAUGAAACAGGAAACUAAGAAGUUGUUAUUCUUUCUAACUAGGUGAUUGUAUAUGUGAUUCUUAUUGAUUUAGAAGGUUGAAAGUGUUGGUGUUAAUUUGCGGCUACGAGGGAUGGACAAUUUGGAUUUUUUUUUGGUUCAACUGUUGUUGCGUGUAGGUUGGAAAGUGCAAUUGGUUGGGGAAGUUGUUACUAGUUGUUGUUGUUUUGUCCUUGUUUUUUGAUUUAGGUGGUAAUUCUUUAGUUGAGGAAAUAUAAGUAAUAUUUGUUUGAAAUUUUGUUUUUAGCAUAGUUGGUUUUGUCCAGAGAUUUGACUAUGUAAUGCUCUCUUCCUCAUGAUAUUUGUAGACAAGAUUUUUGGAUUAAUACUGAUUAUUUGAUUAUAUUACAUAUGCAAUGAGUAAUUGAAAUAUUAUUUGGUAUGGGAAAUUGAAUGUAGUUUUUUUUUUACCAUUGUUUUUAAAAUUCUCAAUUUGAAAAGAUCAUGGCUGCAUUUGAGUUACAACCAAUCAUCAUAAUGAUUUUGUACGCUUUAAAAAGUGGUUUUUUAAUAGCUCUUUGUAAAGAAAAGGCUAUUAAAAAUACACAUCCUAUGAUAGCAAUUUUGAAGGAAACACUAUUAAACACAACAUGAAUCCUAUUCAAUAGACCUAUUUGACAGCGUUAUAAUGAUAUUAUUACAAUAACGCUUUAAAGAAAUGCUAUUAAAAACUCUGUUUAUAAUAGCGUUUUAGAAGCGCUAUUAAAUAGGAUGCACUUACAAUAGCGGCGCAUUUAACAGCACUUUUAAGUACUAUUAAAAUAGCACUUUUAAGUGCUAUUAAAGGUGAAAAAAGUGAUAUUAAACAUCUUUUUGGCGUAGUGUUAUUAUUUUAUAUCUUUCAAAUCUGUGUUAUAAUAAUUUUAGGCUAAAAUAUGUUUUUGGUCCCUGCAAAUAGUUCUCAACCACACCAAUCCAACCUUCAGCCUUUCUUCUUCAAUCCAAACCCAAUUUUUUGUUUAAUUUUCUGGGUUUGUCACCAUUCUUCCUCUUCUCAUGUUCUUCGCAUAUUAUUUAACAACACAAAAACAACACUAACAUGAUUGAAUUCGCACUCGAGAUACGAUUCGAUAUGGGUUCGUUUGAUGGCAGUCAUAGCAAAGAGAAAAAGUGAUACGUGACCGAUUAGGACCGUCUUGAAAACAGGUAACUUGAGAAAGGAAAAGUUCUCACAAUAGAGAAAGUUCUCACAAUAAAAGUUCUCACAAUAGAGAAAACUCAAAUAUAUUAAUCUUCAAAUUGUGAUUUGAGAAUUACAUGAGCUUCUUAUUUAUAGCCUAGGCUUGGAAUACUAGAGAUAAAUUCCCACUACCAUGCAUUUAUCAAAUACAUUGAUAAGUGCAUGUUUAUUACCUAGAAAAUAGGCACUAACAUGAUUAAAAUUCCCACUAGCCACUAUAAUAACUUAGAGCAUUACUUUGAAGCAUUUGGAGAGGCUAGGAGAAUACAAAAGACCACUAUAAUAUUGAUUAACUUUUUAGUACCGGUUAUACUGAAAUCCUUUUUUUUUUCUACUUGUGACCCAUACUAAGAAAAAGAAACUUUUUGAUCGUCAAGCUAAUGACAUUAAAAGAGCGCUGCGUGGGAGGCAACCGUGGGGCAACCCACGGGUUAAUGUCAUUUCUUUUGUUUGUGUUUUUCAGAAUAUUAAAAGAGAAGCCGCAUAAAGGAUAUGUUUCAGAAUCAACAAAUUCCACAUACAAUAUGAUGAUCCUCCAGAACAAAGACUGAAUAUUGUGAGCUUUCUCUCGCAACUUUAUCUUUUUGAGUCAUUGAGUACAAUGUUUUGUCCAAGCAUGUGGGAGUCAAUAAAGUAUCUUGUUUAAAGUUUAAGUGUCUAGUGUUGUAAAGUGUCUGUUUUUGAAUUCCCUUUUAUUUAAGUUUUUUCUUGUUUUGUAAGUGAAGGGCGAUGUAUAAGCAACAUGUCCGUUUGUGUUUUGUAAUCUGAUAUAAAAAAAAAAAAAAAAAAAAAAAAGUUUCUUCCAAAAGGCUAUUUAAGGAUGAUUAUGUGCAUGAAAACAAAAAUCUUGUGCUUUGAUUGUUCUUGCUAUACCCGCAUCAGUUUCAAUGUGAAAUUCUCUCUUUAAGAAAAGCACAAAGUUGCGGUCUUUAAGUAAUUGUGUAGGUAGGUGUUUUAAAUAGCACGUUCUAACUUCAAUGGUAAAUUAAUCCUCAAAAAUUUUAAGAGUAAAAGUAGUAUAAGUUAGUGUGAGGGAACAAAAGGUCAAAUCAAGGUGACCAAGUGCUCAAAACUGAUUGGUCACCAAGACAUUAAAUAAAUGAACAAGUACCUAAAACUGGUUGAUUAUCAUAUAUAUAUAUAUAUAUAUAUAUAUAUAUAUAUAUAUAUAUCAUUGACUUGGAUUGGUAGGAGCUGCCCUCACGGGCCUCCUAGGGAAGAUUUGGUUAACCUAAAAACUAAUGUAGCUUCUGUAAUUCCUUCUUUCUAAAGAUUGUCAAAUGAUAAAAAAUAAUUUCCACCUCUCUUAUAUAAAAUGAAGAAAGGAUUUUUCUCGGUUAGUUUAAUGUUGAGGUUAGAACCUGUUUCCUCAUAAUAUCUCUUACAUAGGCUCAAGAAAAAGCUGGACUACACACACACACUCACUUGAAACUUGUUGUUGGGUUGAAUAGGUUCAUAAGAAGCACUUGAGUUUUUGAUAAGUGUACGCUGAAAACAAAGCCUUGGAGGAAACAAAAGUUUUUAAAUUUAUGUUGUUCAUGUUGUUUUUGUUGUCAUAUGUUGCUAAAGUUCUUUGCCUUUUACUUGAGGACAAGCAAAUAUUCAAGCAUGGUGAAGUUUGAUAAGUCGUAAUUUAGAUAGUUUUUAAGUGUUUAUUUUAAUAGAAUUAUGUUUGUUUAAGUUUCUUUUUAGAACUAUUUUACUCCAAAUUUGUUCGUUUUAUUUUCAGGAUCACAAAUGAUGGAUGAUCAAGUCUUUGAGCAAAAGAAUGGAUUAAAAUGCAUGAUUGAAGCUUGUUUGAGAAGAAAGCUAAAAAGAGGGAAAUUCUGCCAAUCUAUCGCGCAAGGUCGUGCCUACCAUUUCACUGACCGUGUGCGAUCCCAACCUCCAAAAUAUAGUGAAGACCGCCACGAUGAUGAUAGCCUUUGUUGUUGCAACCAUCUCAGCUUGUUGAGGUUCUCAUUCAUUUUUAACCUGCACUAUUUCUAAUUUAGUUAUAUGCUCUUGAAAUUCAGAUUGUAUCAUAGAACAAUAUAGGAUGAGGAGAUAAAAGUUAAAUAUACAUUCAAACCAUGAACAUAAGGAAGAGCUACAUUAUUCUAUAAUGUUAUCUAACAUCAACACUUUUAGAAACACUUCAAAUAAUACAUUACCACUUUAAUUUUAGAAAAAACAAUUAAUAAGAUUCUGCUGACCAUACAUGAAAGAUUGAGUGAUUAUAAUUUGUAAGUGUUGCAUGCUGCCACAUAAGAUUCUUGUGUUUCUUGUCAAACUUCUCUCAUAACAAUAACCAUUUUCCUUGCAAUAAUAUUCCUCUACUCCUCUAUCACACAUAAAUCAUAUUUUUACCAGGUUUAAACAGAGUCCUCCAAUAGUAGGUUGAGUAAAUGAUAUCUGAAAACAAUGAAAAUUGCAAACCUAUGUACAAAAGUAUUGGGAGGAAAGAAAAUAUUGAAAUGCAACUAGGAAUCCACAUCGAACCAUGGUAGUAUGUUAUGAAGAAGGAACUGCUAAGUGCUAUCAUCAUGCUUGUUAUGGAGAUGAAUAAUGUGAUCAAUCCAAAUAUUAGCUUUAAAGGCAGUGAUUUAUAGAAAUCGCGCUCUCCAUAACGCGAGACAAGAAUAGACAAGAAAAUCAAUAUGGCGGUCGAAGAUGAAAUGAAUGCAGAUGCAUCUGAUGUUGCAAAUACCAAGAAUGGUGUUUUCGUCAACUAGUUUGGUUUUCCGGUGUCAUCGGUACCACCUGGUAAAGUAACUGCAGCAGCGAACACUCCGGUAGCAAUGACUGUUGAAAUUAGCAUACAUGACUCCGCAGUUUUUUUCAUCCAAGACUCUGCAUCCUCCCUUAGUUUUGCAUGCUCAUUUGAGAAUAACUCUUGUGCAGUCAAGCGUUCAGAGUUUUUCAACUUUAUUUGUGCUGGCAACAUUAUCUUCUUUACAUUCUAUCAUAUGAAAAUGUAUAUAUGUUAGAUAAAAUAUAGAUAAGUAAAAAUAAAUUAGAGUUAAAUUUAUUAAGUAGGAUAAUUGUGUAUGCACACAAGGAAUAAAACCUUGUAGAGUUGUCAAAUUAGAGUUAAAUGUAUAUAUGUUAGAUAUAAAAAUAAAUUAGAGAUAAAUUUAUUAAGUAAAGUAGGAUAAUUCUGUAUGCAAACAAUGAGUAAAACCCUGUAGAGUUGUCAAAUUAGUCCAGGAGUACGUUCCUUUUUUUUGGUCCGUAGACAAAGUGGUAAAAACUACUCAAACUCACACACACCUCGGGUUCAAAUCUGGAUGAAGACGUCUCACUUUAACUCAUAAAGAUAUGUAAAAGAAAAUGCUUGAUUUUUUUUUUUACAUAUUAUAAAUGGGUUGCAUUAUACCUCAAACCAUAAUAACUCAAGGCACAUUUGAAAAGCUGCUCCAGAAACCAAUUCAAGUUGACCUCGUGGUGCUAAUUUUGCAGCCAAGUGCAAUAAAGUGUUUCCUUUAUCAUCAACAUAUGUCGCUAUGAUAUCCUUUAUGUGCCCUAUUUGAUGUACGACAUUGAAGAUACUAGCAUGCCGAUGCAAAACAGCUAUGUGUAAUAUCGUUCGAUUUUCGCCAUCCACCUCCCAUAUCAAGCUUGGAUAGCACUAAUAAGCUCCGAUAAAAACCAAAAAUUUCCAACUUCAGCAGCAUCAAAUAUUAGUUGAGAAGGUUCAUUUAUGAUUUCAUUUAACUCCUUUGAUGAGUAGUGUCUGUCUAGAAUCGUGGUCCAAAGAAAUUUAACGAAUUGAAAAACCAUAUGAUUUUUCAGGCCUGCAAUACAAAAUUUGGUUAUUAAGUUAAUGAAACCAAUGUAAAAAAAUUAAUAAAAUAUAAAGUUAAUGUAAGGUUUACCAGGAUUGGUCAUGAUGUGAUUAUGAUCAUGUUCUGGAUAAUGACAAGAAGAAUCCAAUGGCAUUUGAUCUUGAGCCAAGAGAUGCAAAGCUGUUUCUUUAUUCACAUCGCGUGCAAAAGAUAGUUCUUUCUUGUCUCUUGCCAUUUUGAAGGCCAAGUCUGCAAUUGAAAAAUAAUACUAUGAUCAAUAUUUUUGCAAUCGAUAAGUUGUGGUAAAUUCCCAUAUACUUUACGAUGGACCGAUGAUGAAAACUCACUCAAAACUUUGCUGACGGCUAAAGUUGCAACUUUAAAUCAAAAGUUUAGAUACCUCAAUAUUUAAGAUGCAAGAAAUUACAGAGGAAUGAAAUGCAAGUGAACAAUGAGUUGUGCCGUUAAUCCUUUCUGAAUGACAAAAUCAAUGCUAUGAAAAACUACAUUCAAAGACCUAGGAGACCCCCUUUGAAUCGAUUUAAAGAUCGAUUUGUAAAAUGUCGCUAAACCAUUAGCGGAAAUUUGCUAAUGUUAAUAAUGAAAUACAACUGUUAAUAAUCCUUACCAUAGAUGCCAGUGUAGAUACAAGCAAAGAACAAUGAAUUCCAGUCCUUGUUUUCAAAACGAUUUAUGGUUUUAUCAUAAAGAUGCCAUGUCAUUUUGUAUCUUCCUUGCAAAGCAGCAUACUGAAUAGGAGUAUAUCCUUCUGUACCCCUUAUAAUUGGUAAAAUGGGGUUUAUUUUCAGCAUUAAGUCAACAAUUUCAAUAUUUCCAGCAGCAGCAGCAAUAAAGAAAGCAGUGUUUCCGUUCAUAUCUAGCAAUUCUAUAUCUUUGUCAUCAAGCAUCUUCAAUAACUCCUUCACAAAGUGAAUGUGGUUUGCACCUGCAGCAAUAUGCAAUAGAGUAGGAGACCCAAAUGCUAUGGCAGCAUUUUUGAGCUUAUUCUCUAUAUAUGUCUAAGAUGUGCUUGGCUGCAGGCCAGUUUCCGUUUAGAGCAUGCUUGUGAAUGGGAACACAAUGCUUGAGAAACCUUUUCCUUUGAUCAUCACCUAAAACAAAGGUUCAAUUGCAGUUAAAGAGAGUAUUUCUAUUCCGUUAACAUUAAACCCACCCAACAUCACCUCAUGUACAAUAUACACAAAACUAUAGUUUUUUAUUAGCAAAAAAGAAAAAAAUGACUAGACAUGUUGAGAGAGAGAAUCAUACUUGUUUCCUCUAAAAACUCAGGAUUAGGCGCGUUGUAUAGGUCUGAUGUCGGAGUUUGUUGUGAUACUGGAGGUGUAGAAUUGGCAUCGGAGGUUGUCACCGGAGGCGUAGAAUUGGCAUCGGAGGUUGUCACUCUCCUGUAAAAGACAAUAUAUAUUAUGUAAAAGACAAUAUAUAUAUAUAUAUAUAUAUAUAUAUUACAAUAUUUAAUCUGAGAAAAUAUAGUUAUAACAUUUAAUUAACGUUAAUAUAUGAUUCCCUCAAAAAAAUCAUUAAUAUAUGCUAUCCACUUUGGAUAAAUCAAUGCACAACUAAGCAAACACAAGAUCGAUGCAGUGAAACUUUUUUCUUUUGAGAAUAGUUCUUAGUUUUUCCUGUUUUCAUUUUUCCUUUUCUUUAUUGUUUUGAUUAGCUUUGUAACCAAAAGAAAAGAAGAAAAAGCAAACACAAAUCAGUUUUUAAACAGAAAGUGAAUGUACGAAGCACUUAACCUGUCGAGCUCCUCCCACAUUUCCUUAGCCGUAUGGCAACUUGAAAUUCUUCCAAGAUCAUUCGGGUUUAAGGCACAAUAUAAAAUAGUUUUGGCUUUUGCUUCUAGUUCCAUGUUCUUCAUAUCUUCAUCAUUGAAUUCAUCUACCGAUUUCAACACUUCUUCACCAUUUAUUAAUUUUUUUGGAAGUUUUGGUCCAUUCUCAAUCACAAGCCAAACUUCGAAGUUAACAGAUUGUAUGAAUGUCUUCAUAGGUUCCCUCCACUCAGUUAAAUUUGUACCAUCGAAGUAUGGUGGCUUUGAAACGGAUCUUCCUUCAACAAUAAUUGCGUUCAUAACUUUUUUAGUUGUAUUAAUUACCUGCAAUGAAUAAAGUUCAAUUGCAUCUGGAGAAAAAGCAAUCUUUUUAGCUAAUCUCAAACCAAGAACAAAGCCCUAGAAUUAUUCCAACACAGAAGUACCAUGAUUGAGGUUGCGUAAAUAAAUCUUUAUUUCGUGUUCAUAUCCUCAUAAAAAAACUAUUGUAAAUAUAUUGAAAUAUAAACAUUUAAAAUAUUAUAUAUUAUUUCAAUUACAUAAAUUAAUCUUAAAUUAUAAAAAUAUUAAUUAUUUUGAAAUAUUAUUUAAUUAAUAUUUUCAUACUUUAAGAUUGGCAAUGAAUUUGAAUUUAUAAUUUUACUUUGAAGGAAGACUUGUGAAAAAAAAUAAUUGGAGUCAAAUUACUCAAGGACCAGAAAAUCGUAUGAUUACUUAUUAGUAGUGGAGUCUCAUCACAUAGUACGAUUCCUUUGAAAAAGACAAUAUAGUACCGUAAAGAAGAAGAAAUAUCUAUGGCUAAAAGAAAAAGAGGAAAAAUGUACGUUUCUUUUUUUAAGUGCUGUUUGUUGCUUAAUUUGUUGUUUAUAUUUAAUUGUUGUUUUGAAAGUUUAAAAAGAUAGUUUGUCAAUCAUAAACUAAAUUAGUGGAGGAAAUUUAGAGAACUAAAAAUUCAAUUUCAUCUAUAGAAUUUAAAUAUUUUUAUAUGAUUUCAACAUUUUAAAAAAGUGUACCGUAAUGAGGGUUAUAAUAAAGAGAGAAACAACAUUAAACCAAUAAAAUAAAAUAGACAUUCUUGAAGGGCUUGAGAAACAUAAAUAACUUAGGUAGAAACAAAACUAGGACGUGUUUUUGUUAAUUUUUUUUAUUAUUUUAAUUAUAUAUUAAUAAAAAAAUUAUUUUUAUUUUUCUAUUUUUGCUGUUGUAAUUAAAAAAAAAUAAUAAUAAAGUAAACCGAUCUCAAGGUUCAAGAGAAAAGGGUCAAACAAAAAUUUCUGAGACAAAUGCAUCUCUAUAUAUAUCAAGUAAAAAUAUAGAUAUGCAAAUUUAAUCUUUUUUUGUUUUUAAGUUCUAUUUAAUAUAGAUAUCAAAACUGAAGGUGUGCUGGUGCACACCAUGGCCUAAAGGUGGUGAAAAUUGGAUUCUUAUAAUAGCAAAACAACUAUACCUGGAAAUGCGUAAAGAUGACUUUAAUUUUUUCUUACAGUUGCCUGCACAAAUAUCGACAAAUAAUAUGUUAAGUAUGUCGUUUUGACUUCUGAGAAAUAUUAUAAAAAAGCUAAAUUAAUAAUAAAAAUGUACAGGAAAAUAACUCAGAUUUUUUAGUAUAAAAAUAGACGGAUUCUUGUUGUUGGUGUAGAAAAGUAAGGAAAAUAUAUGGAAGGUAUAUUCAAAUUGAAAUCUUAAUCUCCCUUUUCAAAUUGAAAUCAUAAUGCAAAGGGAAGUUAAGGAAAGAGUAAGGAAAACAUUGAGUUUUGAGAGAUGUCACUGAAAUUAUUUACACACUACUUAUAGGAGAAAAAAGGACAGAGAGAAAAAGAAGAUUGUGAUAAAGGAAGGAAAGGAGAAGGAAUGGUGUAGAAAAAUGGUAUAUCCCUUCAGCAAAAAGAAAUGCAAGUACCGACCAUUAUUAUUGUUUUGGACUGGGCUUCGGCCAAUAUUGCCGGCUCAAUAUACAGUGGCCCAAUAACCACUACUAUAGGUAGAAAAUUGUUCUUCUCCUUUUCGUUUUUGCUCAUUUCCUUAAUUUAGUGUGAGUUAAUACGUUGUCACUUUUAAGAUCGGUUCAAUUACUUUUUAAGUCGGUUCAAUCGAUCUUAAAAGUGUCAGCGUGAAUUAUCUUCAUGCAGAACAAAAAGUUGAAUACUCUAAAAGGAUGUGAGAAGAUUUGAAGAAGAAACACAAGGAAGACAAAUUUGUAGAGCAUCAACAACAUGGAUAAAAAAGAAUCAAGCAGAAACUUAAAUAGGAGGCUUAGAAUAUGGAGAAAAAAUAAUCAACCAGUUUGUUCAAGUCAUGGUGUUAGAUGACAUUCCUAUCUUUCUUGGUUGCAAGAAUAAGAACUGUGCAGGGGUGAAUUUUAUAGAUUGCAUGCUACAUUGGAAGAAAAUUUGUAAUCAUUUUAGUAUAUAAUUGAAAUUGUGUCGCAUAAUUCAUUUUCCAUUAUGAAAUUUAAUUUUGAAAUGUGUUGUGAAUUCGAUGAAAACUCACCUCACACCAAUAACAAACUUGAUGUGUGGAGCAAGGAUUAUCAAGCAAUCAAAACAAAGUGUAUUGAACAAUUAUAAACACAAGCAAAAAGUAGAAAACAACGAGAGAGAAAGGAAGAGAGAACACAAAAGAAUUUGUUGACCCAGUUCGGUCCAAAUUUACAAAAGAUAUAUCAAUGGGUUACAAGAAUAAGUCUCCCGCCUAAUUCUACCCAAAGUCUCAAUCUCUUCCCGUAACCAAGAGAAUCAAUCCUAAUAGUGUUUCCCAAGGUGAAUCAACCCUCAAACCCUAGUGUUUGUUGCCAAGAGACAAACUCUAUACAAACCCUAAUUUUGUUGUUGUCAUUCUAAACCCUUGUUUCAACCCCCUAUAUCUCAAGGUUUACACUGAUACAAUGUCUAUAUUUAUAGUAAAACAAUCCUCAAUAAAACUGGAACAAAUCUAGGCCCGAAAAUACGUUUCUGUUUUAUUUUCUGCUGUCAAAAUCGGCCACCGAACUCCAUAAAUGGGCCACCAAUUUUUUUCGAACCAACUGACAAAAAAAUCAGAGUGCAAAAUCGGCCACCGAGCCUUGAAAAUCGGCCAUCGAUUUUCUGCUUCCAGAAUUCCAAUUUCUUCAAUUUUGAGGCACUUUCACAACAAUUUUUUUUCAUAAGAACAUAUCAAGAGUCUUGAAUCUAAUUAAAGUUUGAUCUUCAAUUUUUGGCCAAUUCAAAUAAGAGUUCUCAAUCAAAUUUGAAAGAGGUCUAUUUUUAUUUUUUUUAUCAAUAUGGGACAUGUUGCAAAAAAUAUAAGUAGGCGAUGUUCUUUUUAUGUACUAAUGAUGAUUCAAAACUGUUACAAAAAAUGUAAACAAGUAACAUUUUUUAAUUGUUACUAAUAAUACUAAAAAAAUGUUACUGAUACCGUUUAGUACCACAAACUUUACCUAUCAAUUGUUAAAUGUUACUAGAUAUAAUUAGUAACAUAUUUUUGUGAUUUAGUAAUACUUUUCAAAUGUUACUAAAGCUCAAUUAUGUCGUAGUGAACCCAUAUUUCAUGUCGGAUUAUUUUUUUCUUUUUGAAAUGAUUUUCUAAGCUAAAAGUGAAUCAAAGUUAGAGAACAUAAAGCAAUAGAGAAAGAAAAGAUAUAACCAAAAAUAUUUAUCUUGGAAAAGUGAAGGAGGGAGAAAAGGGACGUCGUGGAAAAAUGGUGCAUUCCUGCCCUAUGGCAUAAAGAAAUGUGAGUAACUGACCAUUAUUAAGACUUUGUUAUUAUUGUUUCCGACUAGGCUUCGACCUAUAUCUCGGGUCCAAUAUACAUCGACCCAAUAACACAUAAUCCAUUGCCUCACAUAAGCGCUACUCCGUUGAUCAAGACCAUUGAUACAAUCUCCAACAAACUAGUGCAUUCUAUGUUGGAUUCACGGAGACGGUUAUGGUUACUGGUCAAACACCACUAUAUAAGGGUAACGACACGCCAUUCCAAUGGACAUUGUUUUUUCACCACUUUCACUGUCAAGAGAGUUUUCUAUAGGAUUUCUCUUUAUAAUAUCAUUGUACUUUCACCGGAGAACUAUCUUCAACCUGAGCUAUAGCAUUACACUGCCGCAUCAACGAAUCUUUAUGCGUUACAACUACACUAUGAUCCAAUAUACAUCAUAUCAUUAGCGUUAGAAGGAGAUCAUUGAUGUUCCUAUUUUUAGUACACACAAAAUAUUGUUGUUCAAGUGUUUUCCGUUUUGUCCUAUUUUAAUAAUUUAUUUUUGUGGUAUUAAUAAUAAUUAGCUACCUAAAUGAAUUAAUUGUAAGCAAAACAUUUGUAAUAUUAAUUUAAAGUAGUUUAAAUAACUUCAGUAAUUUUGUUGUUGGUGUUCGGGGUUUGAAUUCCGGACCUUGCAUAUAUCAUGUGUUGUCCUUAUCAAUUGAGCUAAGUUCAAGGGACAAAUAACUUAAAUGAUUUAAUUUGAUUAUAUUUAGACCACCAUAUAAAGUAAAUUAAGAGCUUAAUAUUCACAAACCAUGUAAAUAGUUUUACAUUAUCGUCAAAUAAAAACCAUUAUAUUGGUCUAUAUACUCUAGUUCAACAAAUAAAAAUGUCAAAAGUGUUAGGUAAGAUGUUAUGCACUUGAACUCCGACUUUAUUUUUUAUUUUUUAUUUUUUUCUAGUAUACCAACGGCUUAUUUGUGUGUCAAUUUUGAUUGACUUUUGUCGUUUUGUUAGUCACACUUUAUUAUGCUCUCACUCGUUUCUCACAUGGGCGUACCACCAGACCACCAAUUCAAAAUUGUCACGUUUCUCACUUGGUCAUACACAACAAUACAUAGAUAUCAUCCAGUUUAAAUUUCUUCGAUGUUCAUUUAUAAGAGAGAUAGACAUAUCUUAUAGGUAAGGAUACUAUCCAUUUAACAAAAUAAAUUUAGUAUGCAAUUUGGAAUGUAUGACUUGGAAUGUAGCCUCUUAAUUACAUAAUUAUCUUUUUACCCUUUUUUUUUAUUUCACAGAACUGUAGCAUUUCUUAUUCUUCUUACUCCGUUUACAUUUUUUAUUCUGCUCAAUUUCUUCUUUCUGUUGUCUCUGCACCAUUUCAUGAUUUUUCGUUUCGCUUUUUAUAAUACUUAUAAACAAAUACAACUCACCAAUUAUUUCUGCAUUGUUAAAUUAUCGUUUCACUUUUCAUCUCAUGUUUGAAGUUAUUUCAUGUUUUUUUUAGACAUAUUCUACACAGUUUCAUGUUUUUUCGUUUCCAUUUUAAUUUCUACAUAUAACAGUAAUAACUGCAAGUCUUUUGGUUUAUUAUUUUUUUUACAUGGUCUUUUGGUUUCAUAAUUGAUUUUGAGGUAUUUUAUUUAUCUACUUCAAUAUUAAUAGAAUUCAUUGGUUGAAUAUAAUGAUGAUUUUAUUCGAUGAUUAUUUUACAAUGAUAUGUAAACUAGGGCAUAAGUUCUCUUCCAUUCCACUCGAUUUCAUUAUGUUUCAUUCCACUCCGCUCCGUUCUCUUCCAUGAAUCUAAACAGAGCCUUAAAAAGUGUCCUUAGGACAUUCGUUACCAUUUUCCUUUUAUAAAGCCUUGCAACAAAAAUCACUAGUAUUAAGAAAAAUUAUUAGAAUAAUAAAUUUGUUUCAAAUAUGUGUGAUGAUCAUUAAAUUACUUUUUUAAGUAUAGAUAUAUUCAAUGUUGAUUUUUCAUAUUUGAAAUCAACUUUGUAAUAUUGAUAAUGUAAAAUUAAACAAUGUGUUCCUCAACUUAUUUUCAGAUAAUAUUUUCGUUAUUUAUUUUACCGAUUUAACACUUGAUGUUAUAAAAUGUCAAUGAUAUCCUUUUUUUAUUAAAAAAGCAAAAAACAAUAAAAUUCAUCAAAACCCCAAAGCACACCAAAUAAACUACGCAAUCCUUUUGCUCAUGUUGCCCAUGUCACAAAUCCAUCUUAUCCGCCUCCUCCUUUGUCAUGGAUCUUUGACUCUGGCGGCGCCUCCCAUCAUAUAACAAAUGAUAUGACAAAUAUGUCCAUCAAGAGUGGCUACGAUGAAGUUGAUAACUUGCAAGUUGCAAACAGUAAUGACUUGCUUAUCUCACACAUUGGUUCUGCCACAAUUCCCACUUCUUCUGUUAACUUAAAAUUAUCAAAUAUUUUAUAUGUUCCUUUUGUCACACAAUAUCUAAUUUAUGUCUCUAAAUUAUACCAAACUAAUAAAGUUAAUAUAUAAUUUUUUUCUUGGUAUUUUGAGGUGAAAGAUUUACGUACAGGGAGAUACUUCUGUGCGGAUUGAAUGAAGAUAAUGCGUACAAGUUUGCUCCUGCAUCCACUCCACAGACCUUUUUUGCCCACACCACACCUAGGGAUGGAGCUAGAAAUUUAGCUUAGGGGGACAUAAUUUAAGAAUAUAAUUUAGUAAAGAAAAAACAAUUUUUUUUUUGUGCAUAAUAUAUCAAGAAAAAUCAUGGGACCGACCUUCUUCUUCUCUAUCAAAAAUUUUCUCUGCCUUCUCUCUUGAACCACCGACCUUCUCUUUCCAACUCCUACCUCCUUCCAAUCCAAAUCUAAUUUUAUGUGUUCCUUUUGUCACACAAUAUCUAAUUUAUGUCUAUAAAUGAUGCCAAACUAAUAAAGUUAAUAUAGAAUUUUUUCUUGGCAUUUUGAGGUGAAUGAUUUACGCACAGGGGAGAUACUUCUGCGCAGAUUGAAGGAAGAUAAUGCGUACAAGUUCGCUCCUACAUCCACUCCACAGACCUCUCUUUCCCACACCACACCUAGGAAUGGAGCCAGAAAUUUAGCUUAUGGGGACCGAAUUUAAGAAUAUAACUUAGUAAAGAAAAAAAAAUUGUGCAUAAUAUAUCGGGUUAAUAGUGUUUUACCCCCCUGUAAUAUAGGUCAUUUCCGGUUUUCCCCCCUGUAAAAUAUUUUUUUUGAAUUUCAUCCUUGUAAUUUGAAGAUUUUUUGGUUUUGGACCUUCAUGGAAAAUUUCACUCCCUGUAAUUUGAGCAAAUUUAGGUUUACCCCCUUGUAAUUUGAGAAAAUUUCGGUUUACCCCCCGUUAAUUUGAGCAAAUUUCGGUUUACCCCCUAUCAUAUCUUCGAUUUUGUACUGUCAAAAUUCAUGAAGGUCCAAAACCAAAAAUCAUCAAAUUACAAGGACGAAAUUCAAAAAAUAUAUUUUACAGGGGGUAAAACCGGAAAUGACCUAUAUUACAGGCGGGGUAAAACACUAUUAACCCUAAUAUAUCAAGAAAAAUACUAGGACCGACCUUCUCCUUCUCUAUCUAAAAUUUUAUCUGCCUUCUCUCUAGAACCCCGACCUUCUUCUUCCAACUCCUACCUCCUUCCAAUCCAAAUCUAAGGUUUACCAUGUAGAUUUAGCCUUGUGGUGCUGCGACGGUUGGUUCCAGCCACCCGCACCACCCUGAAAAUCUCUCUAGAGCUCUUGUUGCCCGACCAGUGGAGGUUGUUGUGGUUGUUGUCUUGGCUUUUCACGGUGCUUCCGGGUGUCGUAACAGGAGGAGGUUAUUUCUGGUCAGCUCUUUUCCUUCCUUUUCGGCGGCUGUCUCUGCCUAUGUUUCCGACGCCGUCCUAUUUUUCCGGCACAGGUCUCAAGACGCCAAGUCCGUUUUCACCCCAGUGCUGGUUGUUUAUCCGUUUUCAGGUCCGAAAGAGAUUUAUGUUUGCUGAUUUGUUCAGGGAACUGCGGUACAUGGAUAUGGAUUCUGUGUUGGUAGCCCAUCCAUUCCCCAUCCUAAGACCUAAUUGCUCUCGCAGAUGCUCACUCUUCUUCUUUUUUGUAACUUGGUUUCGGGCCCCUACGCGGGCUCGCUGGGUUGCGUUCAAGAUGAAUGUUUAUUUGUUAGAAUUGAUUAGGUUUGUUUUGAUUGAUCACUUCCCAUUUAGAUUGUACCUGGGUCAAUUAUAAUGUCCCCCUAGUCUUUGUAUGUCUUUGUUUUAUAUUUAUAUAUUUUAUCCUUUGGUCUAUAAAAAAAAUAUCAAGAAAUUUAAGAAACCAUAUGAUAUUUCCAAAAUUAAUGUGUCCAAAAUUAUAAAAAAAAAUGUCAAAGAUAUAAGAAAGGUGAGUUGCUUGAGGCUUGCUUUACUAAGAAGAGACUAAAUAAGACUUUUGAAUAGUAAAGAAAGAAAACAUGAAAUAACAAAAUCCAAAGGUAAGAGGAUGCAUUCAUGAUAAAAUCAUGAGCACUGAAUCUUGGCAUGAGAGUGCGUAAAUAACACUGCAUGCAAUAAGUACAACAAUUUGAGCGAAAUUGUUAUAAGGAAUCAUAAAUUAAUAUUAGUUCAGGAUUAAUAUUCUUUUGUAAGUUUCAAACAAAACUUUACUUUAUUUUUCAUUUUAAUGCAUUCUAAAUAAUAGUUGGUGUAAUUAAGCUUAGAAACUUGAGUGUACAAGGCUAAAUAAUUUGAGUAAAAAAAAAAGUUUAUUAUACAAUAUCAUAUAAAGUUCAUAUAAAAUAAAUAUAGUGACAAAAAAAUAUUAUAACAUAUUAAUAUGAAAAAAUAUUAUAAAAAUCUUGAGGGUGGGAGGGAUCGUGGCCUCUGUUGGUCCCGUUCUAACUCCAUCUCGGAUGACACCUACUCUCAAGCUUUGGCAUCAACGCCUAAGUCAUCCUGUCUACCCACCGCUCAUACAUGUAACCAAUAAAAUUUCUUUGAGUGUAUUGUACAACAAAUGUAUUGAUUGUGUUUUCAAUAAGAGCCAUAAGCUUCCAUUUUAUAAGUCCUCUAUCUCUAGUCAUUAUACACUAAAAAUUUUGUACUAUGAUUUUUGGGGGCAUGCUCCCAUUAAUUCCAUUGAUGGUUUUCAUUAUUACAUUAUUUUUGUGGAUGAUUUCUCUAAAUAUGUUUGGCUCUGUCCAAUCAAAUUUAAAUAAGAUAUUUCAACCAUUUUUCCCCUUUUCAAAAACUUGGUGGAAAUAAAUUUUAAUAAUAAAAUCAAGACUCUAUACAUCUACAAUGGCGAUGAAUUCAUAAAACUUCGAUCAUUUUUACAAAACCAUGGCAUCACUCAUUUAACUAAUCUUCAAUACACCCCAUAGCACAAUAGAUUCUCUGAACACAAACAUCGUCAUCUAACUGAAACCGUACGAUGUCUUCUAAAUGAAGCUCCCCUUCCAUUCGACUUUUGGUCACAUGCCUUCCAGACAGCUGCUUAUUUAAUAAACCGCUUGCCCACCCAUUAAGAUGGACACACAUUAUAAUAUCCUUUUUAAUCAGUAAGGACCAAAUUAAAUCUAAUUAAAAACCUUUGGAUUCUUGUGUUUUCCUUGUUUGAAACCUUACACAAACAACCAACUUUAACCUUGGUUUGAGCCUUGUCUUUUCUUUCCUUGGUUACCGUCUAAGUCAAAGUCGGCUACAGCAGCAUCAGCAGGAUCAGGACCAGCAGGACCAGGAGCAGGACUAGUAGGACAUUAUGUUUUUGUUUAUUACUUGUUUUUAGGCAUGGCAAUGGGUCGGGGUGGGGACGGGUUUUACCUUCCCCAUCCCCAUACCCUAUUCUCAUAUACUUACCCGUUACCCUACCUAUAUCCAAUGGGGAUGAGAAAUUGAACCCCUUCCCCGUCCCCGACGGGUUCGGGGAUCCCAUCCUCGUCCCCGACGGGUUCGGGGAUCCCAUCCCCGUACCCGUAGUGAAUUAUUUUUUAAUAAAAAAAAAUGUAUUUUUUUUUCCAACCUCAAUGGAAAUUUUGUAAAGCAUUAUGUUCCCUUUAACAUUUCCUUAACAUAAUCAUUUGGUUGCUCCUUUAAAAAUCAAAGGCAAAUUUUAUAACAUAGGGAUUAUUAAACCAAAUAACAUAACAUGAUCUAGGGUUGUGUUUCUAUUUAUAUAAAAAAGGAUAAAAAUAAAUAUAAUUUUUUACAUUUGGGAAGGGUAUGGGUAUGGGUUCAGGGUGGGUAUAUAUAACCAUGUUACCCGUCCCAUACCCGUGUUUUGAAAUCGGGGAAAACCCAAACCCAUGCCCAGAUCCAGUCAAAGCGGGGAAAACUCGUCAAAUGGGGGUGAGUUUGGGCGGGUACCCAUGGGGAUGGGUAUUGUUGCCAUGUCUACUUGUUUUUAGUUAUUGUUGGAUUUGUUGGUUGGUUUCUUCCAAAUCAUCAUGACAUUUGUUUAUUGUAUUUCGAUGACACAUUUCUAUGACAAUUGUUGGUUUUCGUAUCAAAUUUUCAAUUUAAAUUAUGUUGGUAAUUUCCGUUUAUUAAAUUUAUUAUUUGGCAUUGAAACAAUGUGUUUACAAUGUGUAAAAACACAUGUAACAGGUUCUACCUCAAUAGGUUCUUCCAUUUUAUGGCUUCAGGAUGCAUCGACAUGAAAAGGGAUCCGGCGGCAGUUAACUGCCGAGGAAACUUCGGUAGUUAACGGUCAAAGAAAUUGAAACCGACAGUAGUUAACUGCCGAAGAACAUUAAAGUCUUUUACAUGUGUGUUUCAGCCAAAUAACAAUUUUCUAACCUCAUGACUCAAUGAGAAUCACUUAGAAUGUGGUUCAUUCAUCUUCUAUACCUUGCAAAGAUGUAAUGUUCAAAUCACAUAUUUGGCUCUUCAAAUUCCAAAUCACAUAUAUGAAUCACACACUGAUUAUACUAUAUCUUACAAAAGAGAUUAUUAAAGAAUGAAACUGUUUUAGAACAUAGAAAAUGGACCCAAUGAUUUCUCAGAUUUUAUUAUAUAUACACACUUUGAUCAAUACAUUCUCUUAUUUAUACAACCAUAAUAGUUGCAACAAACUGAAAACAGAAAACCAAUUCUUAUUAACAAACAUACUAACAUGCUGAAUUAAUAUCACAAAACAACAAUUACAAAUAAACGGUGAAUCUUUAAUAAAAACAAUAAAAUCUGGUGCUGCUGUAAAUUUUCUUCCCAUGUUAAAUUUCCAAAUGCAAAAGAACCUGCCAGUUUGUUGAAAUGAUGAAUGUCACGAUACAAAGUAUAAAAGUUUAAUAAUGAAAUAUUAAAACACUCCUUAACUUUAUUUUUUUGAGCAAAAACACUCCUUAACUUAUAAAACAUAUUUGCUAAAUAUAAAAGAUUGUUAUAUUCUUUUUUUUUUUUCAAGAAGGUAAACUAGCCAAUCCAAAUUGGCACAACGGAGAAUCGAAUCGGAGGAGCACACUCCAAGGUCUUAAACCCACCAGGAUAAUCCAAGUGUGUUAUUUACCUAUUCUAAUACUUAUUUGAGAAUUUUCUCAACAAAAAAAAAAACUUAUUUGAGAAUUUUUAAAUAAAUUUUCAUAGUAAAAUAUAUUAUGAUCGAAUCCUUGAUCUAGUAAAAAAAAAUUAUCCUUGAUCUAGUAGAACCAUAUCCAUAUAUAACUCAAUUUUAUAAAAAUAACUGGUUAUAAAUUAAUAACUAUAUUCAUAACCGGUUUACAAUAAAAUAAGAUCAUAGUUAUGAAUCUAUAUAUAUGGAUAUGGUUUGAUCGGUUAGAAUAUCCGACCAUACACACCCUAAUAAUAAUACAAGUGGUCAUCAUUUUAUAUUUUCAAAGCUGUGGUACGUAUAAUCAUUUGAAAACGCUUUCAAAGUUGCUUUUUCUCAACAACAAAAACAAAAAAAAAAAUCAAAACUUAUAUGAAUUGCAUAAAAAAAUUCAUAAAAUUUUAAUUUUAUUCAAAAUUAGUAAAUUUGUUAGGAAGAAAUAUUUGUUAGUGUUUCAGGAAUCGAAUCUUAGAUGAUGUCCUACAUAAUAGUACUAUAUAUUUGGGGUUAGUACUAUAUAUAUAUGGGGAAGGAUAUAUUGACUCCAAGAGUAACUUUAAGAAGUUACUCCACAUCUUCACCUUUAAUUUUAUCUUAAUCUAAUGGAUUACAUUUAAGUCUUAUCAAUACCCAUAUGUGUCAUCAUUCUUGAUCAUUUUAACAAUAUUAGGUUUCCUUUUUUGCUUUCAAUCAACAUUUAUGUUUUAUUAACACGAUUAAUAAUUGGUAACAAGAAAUUAUUUGUAUGAUUCAUCAAAUAUUUUUUUAGAACAAAUUUCAAAUAUUAAACUAUGAUUAAAGUUCUUAAAAAAAAAAUAAUAAUAACUCAUACUGGUAAAAAACAUCACACUUAUUUAUUUUUUGACGAAACAUAACACUUAUAUUUAAAUACAACUUUUUUUAAUUCACCGAUAAAAUAAAAAUUAAUAAAAAUAUAUAUUUUUUUUUAAAUAAAAAAUAUAUAUAUGUAUUUGUAUUAAUCAGUUUUUUAUCAAUUUAUAUUUGUACAAAUAUAUAUACUUGAAAACAAUUUAUUUAUAUAUAAGGGUAGACCGAAGCCUUGUUCUAAAUAAACAUUAGAUAAAAUGUAAGAAUAUGUUUUUUAUUUUUUCACCAAUAACUGAUUGUCUCAUUAAAACAUCUUGACCAAAAAACAAUUGUGUUAAUAAAACAUGAUGAAAUAUAAGAUUUUUUUUUCCACCAAUAAUUGAUUGUCUCUCAAUAAAACAUCUUGACCAAAAAUUGUGAGUAAAACAUAAAUGUUGAUUGAGUAUGAAAAAUGAAAAUUAAAUAUCAAGUAUGAUGAUGCACAUGAUUAUUAAUAAGACAUAAAUGUAGUUCGUUAGAUUAAGAUAAAACUAAUGGUGGGGAUAUGGAGUAUAACUCUUUAGAGUUACUCUUGGAAUCAAAAUAUCUCUUCCCUAUAUAUAUAUAUAUAUAUUUAACGAUAUUUUUGUUUUCAAAAUUUUGGAAAAUAUUAAAACACCUAAACUAAUAUAGGAGAGGAAAAUCAAAUAUAAUCGUUGUGUCUUGAUACCUGUUGACAUUUCAAGUGUUGCUAUAAGACAUAUCUUUAACACUUAGUGUUGGAUUUUUUUUAGAACUUUUUGCUGCCACUGGAAGAGAAGAACCAUUGUUGUAGGCCAAAUCCUUCUGGUUUAAGAUUGGACUAUUCUUAGCAGGGUCUCUCGAAUCCUUCUUAUCUGAAAGUUUUUGUGAAUGUCCCAAAUUAUUAUGAUUAUUUCUUGAACUCAUUUUGGUAUGUAAGUAAAUAUUAGGUUGAAACAAUGUGCUAGAUAAUAGUAUAUUUUUCGAAUGCCUUUCUUUGAAGACAAAUAUUAUUAUAUAUGUAAGCUAGUGAUGAAUGCAUGGUGAGUUUUAUGAGUAAUUUACAAUGUAAUUGAGUGUUUAAGCACAUGCAUUUGAUAAUUUCACAAAAACCACACGGAAAAUACUAUAGUUGAGGGUUUGAAUGUCGACCUAAGUCUAAUUGAUUUAAAUUAAUAUGAAACUUCAUUGUCUCCCUUCGUUUGAUCAUUAUCCUGGGUUUUUGCGAGAAAAAAUGUACACGCCGAAAUUUUCUGGAUAGGAUAUAUGAAUAUGUGAUCAAACGAAGGUUUCACACUAAAAAUGUACACUCUGUUUCUUGUGGUUCAAGAAAUAUCAUAUACACGUGGCUUAAACUUACCAUCAAUUACGUGGUAUAUUUCCAUUUGAACUCUUAUGAAAAAAAGAUUGGAUAAAAGAUGUUAUGAUAUAACCCUUCUUCAUUUUUUUAUACAUAUUAUUUUUAAUUUACUAAAAAAAAUUAUCUUAUUAUUUUAUAAAUGUAUCAAACGAGAAAAAGAUUUCCUUAAAUUUGUUCAUUAUCUUCUAUUUUUGUUAUUUGUUUUUUAUAAUAAAGGAGCUGCUAUACCUCGCAUGAAAUUUUCUCACGAAUUUAUCCCGAUGGCAGAUUUCAGUUGUAACAAAAACAAAAAAAGCUACCACAUACCAUAUAUGUCAAUUACCAUAAAUUAAGGAAUUGGUUAUUAAAAUGGGUCAUGAAGGAUUCGGGAUGCUUGUUUUCGCUAUUUGCUUUCUCUUAUAAUAAAUAUUAGGUUUAAUUACACUUUUGAUCCUUGCAUUCUGACCAACUCACGAAAUUGGUCCUACCUCUUUUAAAUCGAACAAAAUCGUCCCUAAACUAUAUGUUUUUUUGCAGUUUUAGUCCUAUUUCCCUAUUUUCAACUCCAGAAACGCACAGAAAUGACAGUUUUAGUUCAACCAUAUAUGCUCAACUAUGAAAUAAAUAAUGAACAAAUCAUGUGGGUACAAGGAGUCUACUUUGUUCAGCACACGAACCAAGAAAAACACUAAUUUCUAAGACAUGUUUCAGGUAUGUAACAUGUCUCGAAAAUUAGGUUAGUGUGCUGAAUAAAGUAGAUUCCUUGUACCCACAUGUUUUAUUCUUUGUUUAUUUCAUGGUUGAGCAUAUGUGGUUGGACUAAAACUAUUAUUUAUGUGCGUUUCUGGAGUUGGAAAUAGGGAGAUAGGACUAAAACUGCAAAAAAACAUAUAACUUAAGGACGAUUUUGUUCGAUUUAAAAAAUAUAUGACCAUUUUUGUGAGUUGGUCAAAAUGGUAGGGCCAAAAGUGUAAUUAAACCUAAAUAUUAAAAUGAUAAAGACUUCAAAGUUUAGUGCUAUGUUUCCGUCCUCUCAGCAGAACAGCAACUUGGAUUCAAAAUUAAGAAUUAAAUAAGAAAUAGUGGCUUCCUAGGAGAGCAAGGCCGUUUCCGAUAAUUUAAAGGUCCAGUUGUAAUUUUGACAAUUUUUAUUUAAAAAGAAUUAAAAAAAAAAUGUUCAACACCAUUUAUAGAAUUGUAAAAAAGAAUUGAAAGAGUUGUAAAUUAACCACAUUCAUCUUCAACUACAAUGAAACUAGACUUAAUUACACUUUUGGUCCUCGUGUUUUGGUUUACUCACGAAAAUGGUCAUGCCUUUUUAAAACAAAACAAAAAUGUCCUUCAGUUAUCAUUUUUGUUGCAUUUUUCGUCCAACCCUCCAUUUUAUCCUCCAAAAACGCACAUGUGGCAGAUUUUUAACUGAUGUGGCAAAUAAAAUACCUAUGUGGCAUUGCAUAUUGUAAGGACUCAUUAAAAAUAUUUAAAAAUUUUUAGAGAAAAAAAAACGCAUUUAAUAAUAAUUUAAGAAUUACAGUUUUAACAAAAUUGAAGAUUAAAAAAUAUUACAAAUGCAUCCAUGGAAAUUGUAAUAUCAAAUUAAAAAAAUUAGGUUUCCAAAUAAAAUUAAAAACUCUACAAUAUUUAUCUUCUUCAAUCUUCAUUUCAAACUCAUUUUCUUCUCUCUCAUCUUACCUCACUCCUUUAACCAUCACCUUAUUCACAGAUUCAAUCACCAUUUCUUUCUUCUAUCUUCUCUCUUAUCUCACAUCAAUCCAUCCCUCAACCAUUAGCUUCUUUAAAAAUUCAAACCCAGAAACCCAAAUAAAAAUUAAAAAAAAUUGUUUUCUGGGUUGUUGAUGUUUAUUGUUUUGUGUUGCGUUUUUUAUUUUGUACCAGACCUGGGAUAGAGAAGAAAGAGAUGGUUGAAGGAGUGAGUGAGUGAGGGAGAUGCAUUGCUAUAGCAAUUAAAAAAAUUCUGAAAUGUUUUAAUGAAUUUUCGGUUAAAAAAUUGAUUUUGGGAGAUUCAUUUGUAAAAUGUGUUUUUUAAAUGUGUCCUUAUUAAAUGAGUUUUUUUUCUCUCAAAAAAAAAUUAAAUGUUUUUUUAAUUAGUCUUUAUAAAAAAAAUAUUGAUUUGAUGAUAUGUAAAUGUUAUUUUCCAUGUAUGCACUGCCACCUAUGGGCUCUUUUGGACACAUCAUUAAAAAAUUGGACACAUCAACGUUUUUGGAGGGCAAAAUGGAGGGUAGGACGAAAAAUACAACAAAAAUGAUAAUUGAAUGACAAUUUUGUUCUGUUUUAAAAGGGCGGAUCAUUUUCGUGAGUAGGCCAAAACAUUAUGACCAAAAGUGUAAUUAAGUCAUAAAACUAAUGACUCAAUCUUCGCAUGUGCUCCACAACUCAAAAUGCAAUUAUGCAACAUACUCCAUACCUCACAAAUCUCAAACCAUAACCAGAUUCAACAAAAUUUUCACAGUACUGUGCUCACACUUUGGAUCAGUUAAUAUAAACUAUUCAGCACAAAAGAUCGAACAUCCAAAUCAAUCACUCUAAAUUCUCAACAAUCUACACACCGUCACUAAAAUCCUACAAAUUAGCAUUCAACAUUGAAUCAAUCACUACUACAUUUUCUUCAUUUCUUAAGCCCCGCACUCAAUACCAAUAAAUCACUUACAUAGUCACCGAACACGUCACAGACACUCAAAAAAAAAAAGAAUUAAUUGAAUAUAAUCACACAUGUUUAAUCCACACACCGUCACUAAAUUGAAGAAGAAAGGCGAAGAAAGUUGGGAUCUGAAAUGGAACUGACAUCACGAAGUUGAAGAAGACUGAGUUCACCUAAAUAGGAAUCGGCACGCUGAGCGGACUCGGCAGGGAUGAUGAGUUGAACGAACAUCAUCUUCUCGGAUCGUAUAAGAUCCAUCAGCGGUAAGUUGUCGAUGAACUUUUCCAUUUUCCCAGGAAACGUCGAGAAAAUGGAUCUGUUGUUAGAUUUGAAAACGUGUCCCGAACAAGUUGAAAAUGAAGACACUGAAUGUAUUAAAAAAAAACGAUUUUCAGUUUUUUAAAUAAAUAAUUUGUUUUUUAAAAUAGUUAAUUACAAAAAAAAAAAAAAAAAACAAUUUUAUGUAAUUUAAAAAUUUUCGGUUUUUUUAUUUAUAAAUGAGGUGGACAUUAAUUUACACGCGUGACAUAAAAAAAUUAAAAAGAAAAAGAAAUUGACACAUCACUGCCCUGUAGGAGAUUUUGCUGACAUAUUGGGGUCAGGGGUCAAUCCUGAAGAAUCUUCAUUUUUCAAGGGUGGAAUCUAAAAAAAAAUAUUACAGGGGCUAAAACCAAAAAUGCACCAUAUUACAGGAGCCAAAAACACUAUUAACCCUUAAAUAUAUGAGUAUAUAUAUUCAAACAUGACUUUUACCCACAGACAAUUAGACACUUACAUAUGGACAAUGAAUAAUUAACAACAAAAUAGUUGUCCUCUCCUGACUUUCAUCUACGGAAAAAUGACAUUUAUUGAUUGAUUUUGUUCAUAGAUGAAAAUGUUUUUUUUUUUUUUUUUUUAUCUUACACCCUGACGAUUAUACUCCAUCCCUACAAAUAUUUUAGGCCUUAGUAAAUUGGAGGCCUGACUCCAAAAGAGCUCCUUGUUCUUUCCCAAGAACAUGCAUGUUGGAGAGAUACCACAUUAUGCCGCCAACGUCACGGAGACAACUUUCACGGAUUUUCUUGUUAGUUAGUUAAUCCAUAAUAGUGAAUAAAAUGUUAGUUAGAAAGAUGUGGGAGUGUUUUAGCAAGUUAUAACUAAAAAGUUAAUAAAUACAUCUUAAGGUGUAUGUUCCUAUAACACACAUUCUAAAAAAACAAAUGGGUGUGUUCUAGCAAAUCCUAUUGACAUUUGUUAGAAUACACCCACUUAUUUUUUAGAAUGAGUAUUUUAGCAAAUGAAUAACUAAAAAGUUAUUAAAUACACCUUAAAGUGUAACUUUGCUAAAACACUCCCACAUAAAAACUAAUGGAUGUGUUCUAGCAAAUCCCAUGAGCUACUCCAAAUCACAUCCUUCCAUUUUGUUUUAAUCCAACUAUGCUAGUUAAAUAUUAAAUUAUCUCACAUGAUCAAGCACUAUCCUAGUUUUCUCUCUCAUUCCCUGGUUACAGCUUCGCUGAAAAAACGAAUACUUUGUUGCCUCUUCUUACUCAAUCCUCCCAACAUUUUCUCAAAAUAUCCUCUUUAAUUAUUAAUUACAAAUAAUCAAGAAUAAAAUUGCACAACGUCUUUCAAUGUCUUACUUGAUCUUUAUUUUGUGUUAUUGUAUUCCCACAUAGAAUUUUGAUUCAAUACAAAUCUAGUGACUUUCCACAAUUUCUAUUAAAUUUCAAUAAUUUCGUUCUCCUAUUCUUUGAAUAACAUAGAAUUCUUAGAUUUUAUUUCAUGUACAAAAUUAUCGUUGAAUAGGUGAAAUGAGGAGGAUUAUUUCAAAAUUAAAAAAAAAAAAAAAAGGUGAAAUGAGGAGGAUGGGUAUAGGCAUGGCGGACACUGUAAAUCAUAAUUUGAGGAGAGUCACGUGGUAACAUUCAAAAAUAUAUCUAAAAUAUUUCUUCAUAAAAAAACUGGAAUUAGUAUAAAUGAGAGUGAUUAAUCCAUCUAUCUAUUGUUAGAGUUAAAUCUAUGUUUCUUAAGAUCAGUGUGGUGUGAGGAGGAAGAAGACCCAAACCGUUUUAUGAGGGAAAUGUUUUUAUAGAGCUUGAUUAUGUGAGAUGAUUUAAUAAUUAAUUAGCAUCGUUGGAUUAAAAUAAAAUGGAGGGAUGUGAUUUGGAGUAACUUAAAAGAGUUACUCUUGGAGUUAAAAUAUCCCUCCUCAUAUAUAUAUAUAUAUAUAUAUAUAUUGUCAACUGAAGUAUUCUCACAGGAAUAAGAAUGUAAAAAAAAAUAAAAAAUUGGUUUUCUAAAUAAACACAAGUGAAAUAAAAAUAAUUUUGUUAAACCUUACACAGAAGCAAAAUUGAUUAUAUACAUCUUAGGCUUUGUUUACGAGUUUGGAGGGGAAGGAAAGGUAAAUUAAUGCAUAUAAUUACUUUAUUUUUAAUUUUAAAAAUAUUAUAACAACAUAAAUUAAAUUUGAAGAAUUCUUAUUAACCCUCAAAAACCCUCACUCCAAUACAAUUUUUUAGUUCCUCCAAAUGAGAAGGGUUUUGUAUUAUGAAGAAAAAUUAACCCCCAAAGCCCUCCUCUCCCAUUUUCUUCUAUUUCUUCCACUUGCUCAUUCCUUUUUUCCUAAGUCUUCCCCUCCCUUUCCCUCCAAACUCGCAAACAAAAGGCUAAAGAGAGGAUCCAUAUUGCUCUCAAAUGCAUCUACUCUUUUUCUUCAUGUUUUAAUGUUUUUUUACUUGAAGGCUAAAGACUCUGUUACCAUAAUUUUAUGCAUAUAAAAACACAUAUUUUAAGAACUAUGGCAUAUUUUGAGAAAUAAACAAGAUUCCUACUCGUACAUUUUACUCAUAUCUAUCCUUUGGAUAAAAUUGAAUUCUCAUUUACUUUUGGAAGCAAGGAGAAGGUUAGGGAGGGGAGAGAGCGGAACUAUACAGAGUGUGAAAAAACUAAUCUCUUUGUUGGAUAUUACCGCAGAUGUCUUACAGAUUCAGAUGCUCAAAGAACCCAUUAAUUGAAAUUUUUACACUUGAUCAAAUACAAAGAAUGGUUCUUUUGACAUCUAAACCUGAUUUUGCUUCGGAUCAUGCUGUUUGUUAGUUGACCCCUUUGGGAUCAAUUUAAAGCUUCAUAUAGGAUAAUAUAGUUCUAAAUGAGAGGCCUGCCAACUUUCUGGCUUUGACCUUAACCCACCAACGCUUUACAAUGUGGUUGCAUGCCAGUAUGAAAAUAUAGACAUUAAUUAAAAUUUGUCGGAAGCUUCUUCCUUUGUCUGCGCAAAACUUUUGAAGCAUCAUUAAGCUAUAGUCCUUGCAUGGCUUGUGGAUCCUUCAUUAGGCAACGUCUUUAUAUCAUUGAAAUGUAAUAUCAGAGAAAAAGAAGAGAUACUGAUAGCAUACAAAAUCCCAUUAGCAAGAUUUCUCCGUGGAAAUCACCGCCUGCUGAAGCUGCACAGAAGGGAAAAACAAGCAGUGAGACAUUAAAGCAAGUCCAGUGACAGGAACUCGAUGAAUUUAUAAAGUGAAUGAAAGAAUCUAAUCUUAUCAAGUAUUGUCAGUUCUAGUUAUAUCGAAGCAAUAGAAAGGAAAGAAGGGUCUACUAUGACAGAUAAACUUACAUGGAGAGGAUGGACUAAGUAACUGAGAAGCCAAUUUUUUGGAUCUCUCCUCGUCUUGGCGAAGCUUGACUCCAUGAGAAACAUCGGCUGCACGUGGCAGAUCAGGAGAAACCUGAGUUGUGUGGCUGGAAGUAUAUGAUAUAGGGGAAGCAGCAGGAGAAUAAGCUGGAGGAUGCUCAGUCACAAUGGACGGUGAAGGUGAGGAUACUUCACGGUCAAAACAAGGUGUCUUAGCAGUUGCUGGGGAUAUAGGAGAAUAAGAGGGAGCAUGAUAUGGUGAAAUUAAUGGCUCAGAGUGAUCAGUUAACUGUGGGGAUGGAGCAGGAGCUGGUGGGUAAGCAUGUAGCGUAUCCUUCAGUAAAGAAGAUAACCUGAUUUCUCUGACUUGGCCGAAAACUACGUUAUUAAGGCCAAGAUUGUUUCCAGCAGUGUGUUUUACUGUUUGAGCUAUUUGUUUCAAUCUUUGUGGCAAAAGACUCUCAAACCCUCGCAUUACUGAAGCCUGCACUACUGCAGGACAAGCUACUGUUGAGCCGCGUGCAUUUGUUAUUUGCACAUACACAUUCUGCAAUGGCAAACAAUUAUGCAAAUGCUUGUUAUAUCAAUCUGUGAAUGUACUUAAAUCCAACUUCUAAUAUUUAAAUUUCAUUUGCUCAAGGUAUUAAACAUAGCAAUUUACUCAUUCUUAAUCAACUGAUGAUUUAGGCUAUGCUAGUUUGAUUAGGCAAAGAAAGAAAAUUGUAAAUUUGAAACCUAAUAAAAUUACAUGAAAACAAGAAUGUAGAAAAUGGCAAUGCAUCUGGACUUUUUAUUAAUGAAAAUUGUUUUUCACCCACUCAAAAAGGUACACCCUAAAAUAUUGCUAGAGACCCGCCAUUAGUUAUCAGCUUCUAGUUAUUAACCAAUAGAGAACUAGGUUUUAAUCUUUGACCAAAAAAUGCAAAAUAAUAACAGUAACAGCAGCAACAACAAUAAAUAAUGAAUCUUUCUUGUGGAAUAAACUUCAACAGCCUUUAUUCUUUAAGUUAAAAAUUAGAAAUUCGUCUUUCUUUGUUCCUUCCAUGAAUAUUUCAGAAAAUUGUUAACAGAAUAUAAAAAACCAGACAAGAAAAUUUUGUUUUGAUUAAAUUCUAUCCGAUUUUGAGAGAAGUCAGAAAGGUAUUGCAACUUUAAGGUUUUGACUUUUGAGUGAAAUGGCACUUAUAAAACCCAAAUUGCAAUUCUCAAAAUAUUAAGUGAAACAGGUUAUGAGACUGCACCUCAUCAGACUUCAGAUGCAAUCCAAACUUCAAUUCUUCCUCAAAAUCAUCAAACUUAUCCAGGACUUCAGAUAUGGAAUGAUGAAGAGUAAAAUUAAACAGAACCUCGCGGAUCUGCCACAUAGAAACAGACUGCACUGGUAUUACAGUCAACCCACCAGGAAACUUUAAGAUCUCAAACAAAGAUGCAUUCCCAAAUACUGAUGUUGUUAAAGUCAGGUUGGUUUGCUGGAGAAACAGGUCAAUUAGUGAUGACUUCAGCACACUCAAGUACACUGGAUUUAUUGGAAUGUUCAUUGGAUCAGAGAGGACACCGAAUACCACGUCAGACCAAUUAGGUGCAACACUUUGGUGGAUGGAUAGGAUAGCCACCUGUGUUAAGAGUAACUAGCUUAUUAGCCACUUUUUAUGUCUGGGUAGAGACACCUGAGGAAAAAAAAUGUAAGAGAAGAAGCUUGGCUAAUACCUUCGUGUUUGGCAGAGAUAUUUCGUCAAAUAUUUCAUCUUCUAAUCUUUCAAUGUAUGGAAUAAGCUGUGAAACUGGUUUUUCCAGCCUGAAGGAUGCUUGAACAUGAGCUGAAAUUUGGUCGAGGAAAACAAUUAUCGUCAAUAAACUCAGUAAUGUCACCAACAAUAAGAAUUCAAAUGAAGAUCUCAACACAGAAGAUUAAUCGCAGGAAAAUAAUAGAAAAAGAAACCAUAACAAACUUAUGAGUGAUAGUUGCACGGAUCACAUGUAUAGUGCAGUACAAAGGAUAUGAACUGCAAAAUAAAUUUGUUUUCACCAGUAAAAGAUAUCAAUAUGCAACAUAAAAAAAUUAGUUAUUUUGGUGACAAUUACACAUUACAAAUCUAUCAAUGAAGUGAAUUAUAUUUUCCUUCAAAGUUUAAAUUUAUGGAACUCACAGUUUUCCAGGAUUUGGAAUAAAUAUCCUCAAUUCUCUAACUGUAUUUAGAAACAAGUUAUAAUGCAAAAGAAUUAUCCGUGAUGAAGCAUUGUCAGGCUGUAUUACAGUAGUAAGCAGCUGAUUCCCAGAUUCUGAAUAUGCUUGAGUGAGUAGAACACUCAGUAGAAUGGUACAUUUAGGAAAUCAAGAUUACAAAGAUAAUAAAUUCUGAUCUUGCCGAUGAGUCUAACAGCAAGUCAACAAUGAGUCAAUAACCACUUACUGACGAUUUAAAUCUUCAUUAGCAUCAUGUUUUAAUUUUUCAGUUUAAAAAACACUAAUGUAAAUGAAUUCCAUAAACACACCUCAAUAGGAAGGUUUGUACGCAUAUCUCGUUAACAUAAAAAGGAAGUCGGAUAGUAAUCACACACCCUAAUUACGUGCAUCGAAUGCUAUCAUACUAUUUUCACCUCCGAAAUCAACAAUCUAUAAUAAGCAUGAAUCACAGUUUCACAGAUAUUCUUGACGAUCCACUUAACACGUUAUACCUGAAUUCGAUCAAAAAGAAAAAUCUAAUCCCUAUUUUUGAAUUUUGAAAUCAUCAAACAAAACUCAAAAGUGAUCACAAACACCAUAAUCAGUAUAAAAUUAUAAUUCAUCAAUUCAAAUUACACAGUAAUCAUUCAAAACACAUCAAAACCUAAUUAUGACUUAUAUCAUCAGAAUCAAAAACCGGUUUCAUCACACCUCAAAUCCAAUCUCAUACAGCAAAAUAAACAAUAAAUAACUGAAAUAAUCACAAUAAGAAAAUGAAAUAGCGAAAACACGAAAUUGAAAGUGGAGAGUUUACCUCUAUGCUUAAUUACAUCAUUAGCAACAAAACUAGCUUCGAAAUUGUGUUUAGGAAUAAUCCAAAAGAUUACAGAAACGAAAGCCGCUAAACUGAAAAAGAGAAUGAAUAAACACUUGAAACUGAAAGCUCUUCGAAUGACCGAACACCGUGCACCUUCAUCGUCUUGCCUCUGUUCUUCUUGUUGCACAUGUUCUUCAUCUUUUCCAAUUUUCCCCAUUGCCAAAGCAUCUGGAAUCUCUCUCUCUCUCUCUCUACAACGCGUUGUUAUGAUGUUGUUGUUGCUGGUGGUUAUGCCUCUCUCACUCUUUCUCUCUGUUUCUCUCUCUAAUUAACUACAGUAUUAAAUUUGAUUUAAUUUUAAUUUAUUCACAGUUUCACUUUGCAACUGUAAUAACCUCUCUAUAGUGUGAUUUACGCUGGCAAAUGUAAACACGUAUCACUAAUUUCCUUUUUUUUUUAAUUUUAGGGUUAACUUUUUAGGCUACCGAACGUUGAGGAGAAGCAAAGGUGAAAAAGAAAGAGUACAAGAGUAUAAAGCCGGGAGAAUAUCCUAUUCCCACCCAUCAUGGAUAUAAUUUAAUCAAUGUGUGAUCAUAGUAGAAAUCCCACUAGUAAAGAUUAUAGGAGUGAACAAAGUGAAAUCAACUACUUAUGAUUAAUUAAGAUAAAAUCUUUUUUACAACUAGUUAAGAUACCCGUGUUACAUCACAUGUAGCGCGGAUGUGCUACGUUGCGUGGUGUGCUAUAGAGCUGUCAAAACGGGCGGCCCGGCCCGUUUAGGUCCGGCCCGGCCGGGCCAAGGGAUUUUAAGGGCCGGGUUAAAAAGCCCGGUUUGAAUAUGGGCUGCAAAAAAUGAGCCCGAGCCCGGCCCUAUACGGGCUAACGGGCCGGCCCUGGCCCGUAUUUUUUUCUUCCCUUUUCCAUUCUUUUAAAUACGGAACAUACAUAAAUAUGCCGGGCUAACGGGCUAGCCUGGGCCCGUAUCAGUCUCUCACACACAGACCACAAAAAAAAAACAGUUGUAUUUUUUGCGGGCUUCCGGGCAGCCCGGAGCCCGGACGGGCUAGCCCUAACGGGCCAAGGGCUUUUACGGGCCGGGCUAAAAAGCCCUCUUCAAUUUCGGGCUCCAAUUAUUCGGCCCAAGCCCUACAUUUUAUUCGGGCUUUCGGGCCGGCCCUUACGGCCCGGCCUAUUUUGACAGCUCUAGUGUGCUAUAUACAUUGAAGUUUGAUGGGAUAAUGAUAUUCUUUAGACAAAAUUUGUUUAAUAUUUAAAUUUAUUUUAAAGUAAAUUUAAAUAAAAACUUUACAUGACAAUAGCAUUAAUUGAUUGGAUGAUGGAUACCUACUUUACCAAGUAUUAUUGUGUUCACAUACAAUUAAUUUCCUUAAAAAAAACUGUUAUGAUUAAAUUUGUCAAAAGAAGUAGUUGUGAUUAUUUAUGUGAUUUGUAUCCAAUAGAAAAUUAUGGUAUGCAGAAUAUAUAUAUAUAUAUAUAUAUAUAUAUAUAUAUAUAUAUAUAUAUAUAUAUAUAUUAUACUUGUAAAAAAAAAUUAUGUUAUAUAAAAAAAAUACAUCUAUAUGUUCAAAUUAGAAAAUUAUUUGAAAUAAUUACUAUAUAAGUAAAGAUUAUUAUGAAUAAGUUUAUUGUUUGACUCUGUAUUUUUUCUAAUAAUUUGUUGUUUUAUAUUGAAAUGAAGUAGUUUAAUAUGAAUAUAUUUUCAUAAAUAUUAGACCAGUCAAAUGUUCUGAUCAUAUAUUAGCACUUUUAUUUAAUUGUAACUUUCAAUAGUAUUUAAUAAUAUAUACAUAUAUUUUUUUUUUGAAGGAAUUAUAUAUACAUAUAUAUAAACUAUAUAUACAAAUUAAAAAUAUAUAAUAAAGCAUUGCAUCAAUAAUAUUAUCAACAACAAAUUGACCACCACUAAAACACAACAAAUUGAUCCAAAUUAAAAGAAAUUUAUAUUUGUUAAACAAACAGUCAGCGGUUUAUAUCAAUAACUUAAUAAAAAAAAUAAAAAUAAAAGUAAGAUUUCAUUUGAGGUGAAGUUUAGCAUGGGAAAGACUAAUUUUUCCCACCAUUGGAAAGUUAGUUUUUAACCAUUAGAUCAAACUAAGAACACAUCCUUACCAUACUCCCUCAUCACUAGAUUUUGUAAUUUUAUUAUUUUAAAACCAUUUUUUAAAAACAAAAAAUAUAUUUCGAAAUUAAAAUAAACAUAUGAAAAUAAAAAAUAAACUUAAUUUUGGAAAUUAUUUUUCCAAAUUUUUUUUUUGAGCAAGUUUUUUUCAAAAAACUUAAUUAAAUCUUCGAAAAUCAUAAUUAAAUUUUUUGAAAACAAGUUUAUUUAUAUUUUUUAAAAUUUUGGAAAAUUAAUUUCCAUAUUUUUAAAUUUAUUUUUUAUUUUCAUAUGUUUAUUUUAAUUUCGAAAUAUAUUUUUUGUUUUUAAAAAAUGGUUUUAAAAUAAUAAAAUUACAAAAUCUAGUGAUGAGGGAGUAUGGUAAGGAUGUGUUCUUGGUUUAAUCUAAUGGUUAAAAACUAACUUUCCCAUGGUGGGAAAAAUUAGCCUUUCCCAUGCUAAACUUCACCUUCAUUUGAACCACAUACAAUACAUUUUUGAGUUAGUGUUUUCCAACCGAUAUGAAAAAAAAUAAUCAUAAAAACUUUGAACCAUAUAUUUAUGUGACGUCGGACGUUAAAAAGGGGUAGCAUUUGGGUGACAUUGUGGUUGAUGACAUUGGCCAACCACAAUGUCACAUGUGACUUUCUUCUUUUUUAUUCACUGGAUUUUUUUGUUGUUUUGCACACUUGUAACAUUGUGAUUGGUAAUGUCACCAAUAUCACCAACCAUAAUGUCACCCAAAUAUUAUCCGCUAAAAAGCGUGUCAACAAAACACGUCUCAAUAUUUACUUUACUAUCUGUUAUUCAUUGCCUACUCAAAAAAUUGUAUAUUAUAUCAUUUGAAUACUAUUAAAAUUAGAUCAAAAUGGAAUAGAGGAGUCUAUGAACACUUACCCUUGAUUGAAAUUUUUAUUGAGUGAAAAUAUAUGCCAUACUUUUUGCAGCAUAAUAAUGCUCACAUCGCAAACGUAUUAUUACUGGUGUGUGACCCGUGCUUGACAAUAUAAGUUAGAACAACAUACAAUUGUACUGCGAUGCUUGACAAAGUGUGUAUCGACGACAUACAUUCACAUCUCAAUUUUCGGAUGAAGCACGUCCCAACAAAUACAUUAAUAUUAAUAUCAAAUACUUUGAUAAAUAUUCAAAGUAAUUACUAUUGAAAUUAAUCUUUAAGACAAAAAUAACUACAGAGCUAAUAAAAUUCCGAAAAUAUAUAUACUAUGGCGUUCAACACUUUCAAUAAAGGCAAAUAUUAUAUCUUGAACAUCAAAUCCACAACACUAAGACGUUCUUACCAACGAAAACUAAAACAUUCACAGUACUUAAACAUUUUUAAAAACUUCUCAUACAUAUCAUUGGUAAUUGAGGUCAACGACGUCCAUCGUUAGCAAUAUUUAAAAUCUUCAUGAUUUUGUGUCUGAUGACCAACACAUUCACAGGGGACAAAAUCUUCACCAAAACUUGCAGAGAGAGGAGAUUGAGAAUCAAUAACAAUGUAUUCUUCUUGUACAACCCCACCAUCAACAACAUCAUCCAGAGCUACAUCCGAAUUACCUACGGUCAUUUGUAUCCCUUCAUCAAAAUGAUCCAAAAUAAUUUGUUGAGUUAUUUAUGCCAAAUAAAAAAACAAAUUUGAACUUUCAAUUUAUAGUUUAGAUUUACUUUCAAUUUUAUAAAUUGGUUUUUUUUUUCUUUCCUAAUUUUAGUUUCAAUUUAUUUAAUUAUUUUUUUCCCAAAUAAACACACACCACACACGUAUUUUUCUCCAUCAAGGUAAUUAACAUCAAAACCUAUUAUCUUCUUCUUGUUUCCACUGCCACCACUAUCAUCAUCUUCUCUUAGGGUUCCUUUUUCCUUUUCACACAUUCCAAUCUCUCUAGAUCGACCCAUGAAUCAUUUUGACGUUUUUCCCUAUCUCUAGAUAUAAAGUUUGCAUCUUUAAUCUAAUUUGCUUAAUGGGUCGUUUUCAAAUUUAAUCUAUAUUGCUUCAGAUUGUAUGCAACUGUGUAUUUAAUUGUUUUUUUUUUUUUUUUUUUUUUUUUUAUGUAAAAAAUGGGUUUUUGAAUCUGUGAUUACUUUGGUUUUAUUUGUUUUGUUUAAAUUAUUGAUAAUUGAAAAAAAUGGUGAAAUGGGUGUUCAUGUUGUGUAUGAUUUUCUUCUUUGCAAUCUGUGAAUGAUUUUAUUAUUUGUAAUGAUUUGUUGAAAUCGUUUGGUUUCUAUGACUAAUGGAAUGCAAAUUUGUGUCGAUUAGUGCAUGUCUAGAUUCACAUUAUCUUCUUCCUUUUCUUCAUCUUUCUUGUUUUCCAUUUCACUUUAACUUUUCUUCAAUUUUUGCUCUGAAUCAGUAACUUGAAGAAAAGAUACCGCACAAGAAUUUCCUCAUCAAGGGUGAGUUUAUAUCUUCCUUGAAUCGUUCAGCUAUCUUUAAAAUUGUGAAAACCCCAAUCUCUAUUUUUGAAACCCUAACUUUUCUUCAUUCUUUAAAAUAUGAAUAAUCACAUUGAGAUGAUAGAAUGUAUUGUUGAGUUGAUUUAAAUUUUGAUCUUGCUCAAUUAUGUCUCAACAAGUAAAAAGGACCAACUUUUAAUUUGAAUAUUAACUUUCUCUUCCUUUAGAAUUUAAGAAUAACUUGGUUUGAGUUUGAUUAAUUUUGGUAUUAGCUUAUGAUUCUUGUUGUGCUAUUAGCUUGUUAAGAAAAUAAAAUGAAAAUGUCAUGAUUCUCUUUAGUUGUGUCUAGAAAGGAUUGAGUUAGUUUAAGUUACUUUGGUGUUUCUUGGGAUUGUUUAGUUAUAAGUGAAGAAUUUGAUUUGUAUAGGCUUGAAAUAAAUUUAGAAAUUUGAAAACUUUGAUGCUUUUAUUGGGAUAAAUUCUUAGAAGUAGGAUGGAAAGACAGUAGAGUAUUAUGGCAUGGUUGAGAGUAUUUGGGGAAAUAUAAGUUAGAGGUGAAUCAUAAUAUUUAUUCAAAUUGUAUAUGGAGCUAUCGAGUAAUUGUUUAUUCAAAUUGGUAAUUGCGUAAUUAUUCUAAGGUUUAUUAUACUAUAUUAUGGUGGAUCAUGAUAUUUAGCUUGUGAUGUUGGUGCUCUUGAAAGUUAGAUUUAGAUUAGUUGGAAACUUUGGAGUAUAUAGAGUUAGAAGAGAACAUAAGUUAUAGUGGGAUUUUGUUGAAACUUGAGACCAUGAUGAACCCUAAUAUCCCUUGAAUAGCACAGCGUCACCAUCUCUUCGAAGAUGAGUUUCCUUUUUUCAAUUCAACGGUUAUAUGAGAAUUGGAAUUUAUUUAAUGAUUUAUCUUUGUUUCAGGUUACAUCUAUUUUGUUGAAAGAAAAUGAGCCGUAUCGUGAAUACUCCUGCUCGCGUCAUGUUGAUUUUGGUGGUAAGGUAAAUUUAUUUUGUGAGCUUAAUAUGUAAAAGGAACUUAUAUAUAUAUAUAUAUAUAUAUAUAUAUAUAUAUAUAUA